This 67238-nucleotide long non-coding RNA is filed under the name Xyrichtys novacula (pearly razorfish). Lineage: Eukaryota; Metazoa; Chordata; Actinopteri; Labriformes; Labridae. The record is from RNAcentral.
GUUCAUAGCUUUUUUUUUUUUUAGCUUUUUCUGAAAAGUACUUAGACCAGUGAUACCUAUCUGACCCCAUGCCUGGACUACUUCUGAUGUCUUUAAAAGGAGGCAGGAAAAGAAAAGAAAACACAAAAAUUACUUUAUAACAUAAGUCAAAAAGUCUAAUUUUUGCCUCUUUAACUCUCAGUUUCUCCUGCAAUGAUCUCCUCUCAAACUGCAUUAUUUUCCAAAAUUACUGAGCUUUCUUGCAGCACUGAUUGCUUCCUCUGUGACUCUAGCCUCUAACUUCUUCUCUUAGGUUCAACAACUCUUGAUUUUUUUAAAGAAACUGUUCUUUAACUUGGCGGGGGAAUGGGUUUGUUUGUGUACCAUGCUUGUUUCAAUGCUUUCUGCAGCUGCUAUAACAGAGUCACUGACAGUUCAUCGUCUUUGCAGGGUACAAGAAGUGGAGUUGAGGCUCAGCGAUUUGGACACAAGGAAUAGACCUUUUGAAGUCCAGGACACAAGGUAAUGGUUAUAUUAUGUACAUAUAACAUGGCAACAACAAGUUUGAUAGAAAUUGGCCCAAAAGUACAAACAUUUUACAAACCAGUAGCUCAUGGUGUUGUAUUGUUUACACUUGACCAAAAUUACCCUUUUCACACUGAUUGAACUUGAUUUGUGAGAUGUUUGUUUGGGUAAUAAAUUGACACAAACUAGAGAAAGCUCAGCACGAGUCAGCAGUAUUUACUGUAUUGCUUGCAGACUUUUUGUAGUACAAAGAACAGCACUACAACAAGGAAAGACUCAUAAAAAUAGCCAGAGCAUUCAGCUGCUUAAAGUUAAUCAAUAACAACAAGGGAGAGAAAGACUAUAUCUUUUUGUGUAGUUAGAGCGCAUCACUAGUAAGCAAAACCAUCCAAAUCUUGUUUUUUUUUUUUUGCACCUUGUUUUGUACAUUAUAAUACUUACACAGAGAGUCCAAGUCAUAUGAACAAUAAGUCCUUUCACUAAUUUCUCCUCUCAAUGACUUUAUAAGUGAACAGCUCAUGCAUCAUUCUUCUCAUUGACUAAUGUCCCGCUUCAUUUUGUCCUUUCUGCUUUGCCGUCGCCCGCCGUGCAACACUGAUUAAUGCCAUCACAGCAAAUUAGAUAGCCCAGGAACAACAUGUUUAUCAUUUUCAAGCAUUAAGAAAAGUACUUUCCUGGUUCAUUCCCUUCAGUGCUUUCAAAGCAGGGGGAACAUCAGGGUGAUGUAUGUAUGUACUGUAUAGAGGGGGAAAUAUUAAUUGGGAAAUAGCCAGAGAUGUGGCCUUUCUUCUAAAGGUUGUGAGACAGAGGACAAGAGCUGAGAGUGAGUUACCUUCAAAGUAAUGGUGUCAUUUUUUACACUAUACUCUCACUUCUUCUGUGUUGGCUGAUUUGAACAGCGGACAGGAUUUUUUUUUAAGCUCUCAGCUGAAAUCUUUUUGCUCUGAGAUUUGUUGGUUGAUGAAAUUGUUUAUAUUUAUUGCAUCAGUAGUUUAAUAUCAAACAUAUAUAUCUGCAGGUUGUAGGAGGAGAAUGUAACCUCUUGGUCUGCUUUGAACCUGGAGCUUUUUGAUGGCCAAUCGUGGGCACCUCCACUGUGAACCACUGUCUGUGUAACGUAUGACAACAAUGAUGAUGGCAUGUGGGAGAACCUGUGAGGUUUUUGGCUACUCUAUCAGUUGUGAGAAACUUUGUUAAUACUAAACAACACAAAAGCCUGAAUUUGUUUACAUUGUAGAGACUUUUGCAAACACCACCUCAACCAUUACCUUGUUGGCCUGGUUGCACGCUAUUUUAUUUACAGUUACUUUUGCAGAUCCCAUGCAUGCAGAUCCCUUUGUCAUGUGAACUUGGAUUUUUUUUUUUUUUUUUUAGACCAAAGGGAAAGAUUUUUCUGUGUUUUGAUGGGACUUUUCUUCUGGACCAAAUACAGUCAUCAACUGUUAAUUGAUUCAUAUAAUCAUCAUAUCAUAUUGUUACAUUACAUAGCACUACAUCAUAUAUGUUACGGAUAUAGUCGAUUACACUCUCUGUCUCCUCAUAUUGUUACCCUAUUAAAAUAAUGGCCUAAGUCAUUUUUUGACGAAAAUGAGUUUUGGCCUAAAUCGUCUCUUGAUAAUGGAGAUGAUUGAUGGAGAUGAUGAUAGAAAAUUGGGGGAAAUUUUGAUUUUGUACAGAGAGAAAUUUAAAAAACCAACCCUUUACGACCCAUUGACAUGUUAACCCCUUCGUUCGAGUAGCGAUGUUAUUUUAUUUUAAGAGGCUAACAGGAAACUGCAAUAGCAGCGUGAAAACCUUGCUGGCCAUUGAGUUACAAUAGCAGCCUCAGGUAUUGACAGAAAGACAGCAAGCACUCAGAUAUUCUCAUAUCAUUUUCAUCCUCAUAUCAUGCUGUGAACGUAGCCUGGCAUUGGUAUGUUCUUACCCAAUGUUCCCUCUCCCAGGCUGUAUAUCACAUCAUAAAGAAUACAUAAACCCCUCUCCAAAAAAAAAAACCUACCCAGUCUCCAAGGCAUCAGUGCUGAGCCCUGUUCUGCACCGAAAAGAGCUCAAACAAAGAACUUUCCUUGGAAAGAAAAAGAAGAAAAACAACAUCCCUCAAACAAAACAAAAAAAAUCUAGAGACAAUGCUAAUAACUGUAAAAUAUGAAUGGUGACUUGACAUAUUUGCAAAUGCGCUGAGAGGCGCCCUACUAAACGCGAUGAUAUGGGAAACCAAUGGCAUGGAAGAAAGCGGUUGUGGGCCCCCAUCUCUCGCCAUUAGAUGUUCAGUGGAAGCUGUCAACAGAAGGCGCAUUUGCCUGCCAAGCUCCCUCUCUGACUGAGCUCUGUGCCUGCAGCACGCCCCGAGCUCCUCUUUGACUCAAAGGCUUCAUUUCACUUCUUUUAGCCUCAUUCGCAUGUGCUGCUACACAAAAACCCGGCUUGCUCGCAGCCUGCCUCUCGUGUGUGUGUGUGUGUGUGUGUGUGUGUGUGUGUGUGUACUGCUUUGUGUCCAUUUUACUGUGUUUCCGUGUGUUUGUCCAUGACUGUGUGUGAGAGUUUUGUACAAGUGCACGUGUACAUGCAUGUGUGUGUAAAUCACAAGGUGAUGCCGCUCUGACAGCCAAAAAGCCACAGUGACAGAAACACAGAAAGAGACCAGAGGGCACAGUCCAUCAUUAUCAUUUUCUGCCCAUAUUAGCAUAAAGCUAGCUCUAUAUAUCCAGGAAACACUUUCAGCUCGAACUUCCUGUGACAUACUGUAGGUUUCUAUAGCAGCUAAAUAAAUGUCUCUGUGUAAUCCAGCUUCUGGAUCAGGCCACCUGAAAAAAAUCAUGAGUCAUCAUUUACAUGGGUGAUAUGUUCAGCACUGUCCCCUGAGGUUGUCAACUAGAAACGGUUUCACUUUGGAUUGUCACAACCCAAAAAAGAGUGCUAAACUACCUUCAACAACACACACAGUUUGUACACAUCCUGUAGUGUCAAUGCUACUGCAUCACAGUCAGUAUGAAGAGUAACUUCAUUAAGUUCAUUAGUAGUUAGUUCGAAAACUUUUUCAGACUAGGUAGGAUUUUCUUUGUAUCAAAAAAUAUACCAAUGAAAAUAAAUGAAUGAAUAAAUAAUGUGUUCAAAAGAAAGAGAGAAAAAACAACAGUAUGUGUAAAACUAACAAGACUCAUACAGCAAAGCCCAAAGUUAACAGCUUUAAUUAUCAGAUCAAGGUUGUUGUAAUAAAAUAAUAUUUUUAAAAAACUUGCACUCUUGAAGAAUUUCAGGGACAGUGUGAGUUGGGGCUUUGUAUCCUUUAAGUAAGAGAAAAUCGUUUUCAAGAAAAGGAUAAUGUAUAGCAGGGGUCCCUAUCCUUCAGACCUUAGACAAGUGAAAGCCCUUUGGUCAUUUCAAACCAGACUGUGAAAGCCCAUUCAAGAACCAGAGGGAGGAUGUAAUUGUCAUAUCCUACUGCAUUUUGUUUUGUUGAUUCGAUAUCUCAAGCCAAAUUAUACUCAAUUCAAGUUAAAAUCAACUUUGUUUUUACUAGUUGUAUUUAAACAAAAGUGUCAAUAUGAAAUAAAAACAUCUUAUUUAUUAUUUGGUUAAAGCCGUAUGGGCUUUGCAGAGUGAGAAGUCAUUGCCAAUUUGUUGCUAUGCCAGUGAGUAAGGAAAAAAAAAAGAUGGGCAAGAUUAACAAGUUUUUUUACUGGCGUUCAAGGAAAAUUCCUUGGCUCUGUGAGGAUAUCAGAGACACAAAGAAGUACAAAAUUUGACCAAAGUGAGGAGAGCCAUGUAAAAUUAAGUUUUAUUACUUAACAGCAGGUUAGAUGUUAGAAACACUGUCACUCACUCAUAAACACCUCAUUGGAGCCGCUAAUGUGGUUUUGAUUUUUAGAGCUCAGGUUGUAUUAUGUUUCUACUGUGCUUCAUAUAUAUUGAAAUGAUAGUCAUGGGGGAUUCCCAUGAGAUGUCCACCCUACAGGUCCAUCAGAAAUAUGACAGGGUUAGCAAGACUCUGAUUUGCAGUGGAGUCUUCUCUUUGGAGCUUUGGGCUUGGUUAAUAAGUGCAGGGUUAUAAAAAAAAUAUGUUGUCGCUAGUAUCAACAGGAUAAGAAAACAGAACUUCAUCUUGAAAAAUAAAUUUUCGUGCAUCAAAAGUUCUCCGUCAAGAAGUUGUUCAUACCGGGAAAUAAUGCUUGAAAUGGUUAAUUCUGUAAAGUUUUAGAAAGAAAUUGAAAUAAAGAGUUCAAGCGUUGGAGUGAGUAUUUUAUAUUUACUUUUUUAUGAGUAUAGUUGAGUCAUCAAUUUUUUUGAGACUUUUCAUUUUUUAUAUGAGCUCAAAUAGCCUAAAAAAUAUGACAAAGAUUUAGUUGAAUUAGGAAUUAAGACUACUUAAGCCAUUAUCUGGAGAACAGGUAGUAGUUUCCUGUGAAGUGUUUGACUUCCUAACACAGGCUGUCCUCUGGCCCGUCUGUCUUUGGCUAGCAGCCUGAGGGUCGGACCAGUGGAGUGGAAGUUGAAGAGGGCUGUUUGAAUGUAAUAGGUUUUGACUGGCAUGUGUUACAUGCUUCACUGCACCAUUGAUUGAGCGCUUGUUUGCUAAAUCACUGCUGGUUUCCUCUGUCUGGUAGGCCUGUGACACGUGUGGUGUGUGUGGUCACUUCUGCAGGGUGGAGGGAAAGAGAAGAGCUGGUGCAACCCCGGUGACUCAGAGAGGACAGAAGUUAAAAAUGACACAAAGAAAAGGUGGAAAAAUAGACGCAGACAGAAGAUGAUUGAACCUCUUGACCUCUUUUUUCUUGAACUCACCUAAUCAGGAAUCAACUUAUCCCCAAAUCUUGGCACUGAGGUCUCUUCUUUCACGGACACUCACAAUAACACCCCUCCUCCCCCUCCUCCUCUACCUCUCGACCAUUUCACUCCUCCUCUGCCCCCACCUCCCCUGUUUUAGACAUGCUUUUUACAGCUUGAAGGAUGUGGCAGAGGAGGGAGGGUGGUGUCAUGGGUCAAUGUCACUCAGCUUGGUCCACUCAGCGGAUGACUGAAGGGAGAUGUCUUGAUGGCUGAUUUUGCCUUUCGCCAUUUUUAAAGCUAAACAGCUGACCAGAUAAACGUAAAACUACAAAAAAAAAGAGAUUUAUUGAUAACUGAUGUGUUUUCAUUCUGAUUAAAAAAAACAUUUUGAUUAACCAACUAUUAAUUAUUAUUGUGCAGCUUAACGUUUCCACUCACAACACUGGUGAUGUAAAUUGAUUGGACAUAUAGGGACAGGACCAGGUUCUCUGAAAGAUGCCCUUUUCAGAGUUCCUUUAAGUGCCUGACAGACCAAUUUGAUCUGCAUUUUUUGGGGAAGUGCAAACCAGAAAGUGACUGAAUGCUAUAGCUGUAUUCCAAUACGGGCUAACAGGCAGUCAAAUAUGCUAUUUUAACUUAACCAUAACAUGAUCUCUCUCCUAAACAUCUCUGUCUUUAGUGUAUGUGGCUGCUCAUCAGUCAGGGAGUUGUAAAAUUACCACAAUUCAUCAGGAUGAUGAAGUUUUUACAAUUAAUGACCUGAAACACUGUGAUAAUAUGUGAUACUGAUAUAAGAGUCAUCUCCCAGAGUACAUGAGAAUGUAAAAGGCCAAGUUUUUAAAGCUUAAAUACAUCCUCUUUAUGAGUCCUUAAAAAGAGCCACUUUUGAAGAUUUGGUAACACUUUAUUUCACGCCUAUUUCUAUAACACAUUAUAAAUAUAUUUAUAUACAGUUGCAUUGCAUUAUCUAUGUGGGCAUUAUCAGUGAGUUGUUAACAGUUGUAACACAUUAUAUAAUACCUGACCUUGUAUGUCAUGAUAAAAUGCUUUAUAAUGUGUUAUGAUUAUUGCUAUAAAGCAUUAUGAUUAUUUAUGAGUGUUUAUAACUAUAUUUAUACAGUGCUACAAUGUGAUUAUAACACGUUAUACAUGUAUUUAUAAUGCGUAAUAGAGAUAGGCGUCAAAUAAAGUGUUACCGAAGAUUUACAUAUUGCAACUUUGCUGUAUAGCUUUCUACAAUUAAAAGUUAUACAAAGUCAUUAACCUCUGUUAGAUACUUGAUGCAAGUAAUUCAGCCAGACAUGAUUAGUGUAAACAGAGUGUAUAGAUAAUAUUCAUAAGUGUGUGUGUUUGUGCACGCAAACUUCAUGCCGUUUCAUGUAAGUAAGUACCUGAGUUUGGCCACCGCAGCUAAAAGAUUCACCCUGUUAAAAGGAUGAAUUGUAAUCAUAUUAGUGAUCCAGUGUUACAGACUGGUCAACAAAUACUAUACAUGUGUAAACCCACCAUUUCAGUCAAUCACGCCCUUAUGCUAAACUAAAAUUUAAACAUCUCACAUGCUAAUGUUAGUUUUAGGCUCAAAGCUCUGCAGCAGUAAAGCAGAAGCUCACAGAGCUGCUUGCACGGCCGUAGAGUCUGUCUUGUUUCAGUGUUGACAGGUAGGUUUUCUUUAGUUUAAUAACCUACAUUAUAAUCAGGUUUGCAUGUUUAGAUAAAUCUUAAAGCUUGUUAAAUUCUUUUUUUGUUUGUGAGAGUGUGUAACAUAAACCAACUUGCUGUUUUGCGUCUUCUGGUCUAUUUCCCUCUUUAAUUUCAGAUCUCUGGUUUAAAGCACCUGAACUAACCAAAACCAACCCAGCGCCUGGAGUCCUCCCCUCCACUUUAGAAAGCCUCAACAAGUAAACAGUGUCUUUGCUGAUUACACCGCCUCUCUCGGCAGCCCAGGGUUAGCUACAACACUUUGAUCUGCUAUUGAUUGUCUGCCUCCUCCUCCUCAGCCCUACGCAUCCUUUCCUAGCUGCUGUUUAAACACAGGUGAGUCAGCCAGUGGCCCGAGGCGCUGAGCCUUAAACCAACGGCACGCUGCGUGCUUCUAACACUGACCCACUGAGGUUAAUUGGUAUCCUCUUGGUGCUGUAAAAAUUGUAAUUAUGUUUAAUGAGAGCAGUGGAGCUGUUUGCAGAGGAGAACAAAGAUUUAGGUUUAGACACAGAAGACCCUCACAUGGGUACUCAAGCAGGAUUGACUCGUUAUCUGUUAGAUUUUAAGAGUUUUUGACUGGUAUUUGCAAAGAAUUGCAGCAGAUGGGUCAAAGAAAAGAUAAUUCAAACUUUCAUUGGAGCUCAACUUAACCAAAUCAACUUAAUUAAAGGGAUAUUCCGGCAUAAGUUUAAGUCAAACACACCAUAACACCAAGUUAGACACCCCUUCUAGAGAUGAAUUUUGCCAACCGCUUGCUUCUCUAGUUACAUGAAUUUCAGCAACGACUGCACGAUAGCAAUACACAGCAAUUAUUACUUCAUAAUUUUCAUGAAGUAAUAAUCAUCAUAAUAAUCAUUUUGCACUACAGACGCAGUAGUCCUUCUGCCUUAGCGUCUCGGUCUGAUUGCAUUUCCAUAAAGUAAUGAUUAUAAAUGUUCUUCAUUGAGCUGCCAAAUUUUGCUGCACUCUGUGAUCAACUCGUCAGGGCUCCCCCACAAACAAACAGCUGCUGGAGGAGAGUAGGUGAGUUGUGUUUAGUCUCUUUGCUGAAGAACUUAGGCAAAGUUAAAAAGAUGUUUGGUGGCUAGUACUAUGGUUUGGACCCUAUAUGUACUGUUGAUGAAGUUAGGUGCUGUUCUGAGCAUUCUUUGUGGCUACAAGUGGCUUUUUGGUUGAGGUUUGCACAUGGAGACAUAGACCGCUGUGUAUUGCUAUCAUGCGGUCGUUGCCGAAAUUGGUGUAACUAGAAAAGCAAGCGAUCAGCAACAUUUACCUCUUUAAGUUUCUGACGGUAAUUCAUGUUUAAACAAACAAACUACAGUUUAACAUGAUUUUUAAACUCAAAGUAAGUAAAAUUGAGAAACUUCAAUUUGUCCACUCGGAGUUCUUUUGAAAGUGUAGGUGCAUUUAAUCAAUUAGGCUAAGAGUAAACAAAAAUAAUUGUGAAAAUAAUGUAAAUAUUUCUUUCAGUUAAUAGAAAAAUCCACUGGACUCUUGUACAGUUGAAAAGUUUUUCCAGUUCUUCCAAAUGGCUUGUUAAGUUUUGGAUAUCAGCAGGGACUCCUAUGUUUUUGUCCCUGUAGAGAUACCACCCUGCCUCCAGAUGGAGGAUGAAGUGGUUCAAGGAAAAGAAAAAAAAAAGAAGCUCAGAAAAGGCAGAUUUGAUUUUUAUUUUUGGUCCUAAACAGCUCUGACAGAACACAUUAAUUAUAGCAAAUACAUGUUUGGACUUGUGAAGCAGUGAGUCUGUCUUCAUAGGAAAACCUUAAGGAGUGGAUAAUUUGCUCAAAGAUGUUAUACAUGUUCACAUUUUUAUGGGAAGAAAAUUCUUUCAUCUUCAGAGCGGAUGAGGUGAUGAAGGGCAAACAUUAUUUUCACACAAAAUAACUGGAGCUGGACUACAGACUUUUUCUCUUGAACCAUGAUCAUCUUUCGGUCAACGUUCUCGAUGAAAAAAAACAAAAAUAUAAGUUAGGCGUAGUAGUCACAACCUCUAUCUUUUGAAGUUGUUUAAAAUAUUAUUGUGUUUCCAGAUGCAACAGUUGUUAGAGUUUAUUAAAAUAUCUUCUUUAACCACUCCUUGAAAUAAUCCACUCCUCCACUUAAGCAUUUUCUUACAGCAGUGUUUUCUCAUGUUGAGGUACCUUGACACAGACAAAAAAACACUUUUUCAGGAAUCUGUGCGCCCAUCUCCAAAUCACUGUGAAAUUUUAAACUUUAAGAACUGAAAAUAUGGUUAAAUUAACAAUCGGACAAGAAAAAUAUCGAUCUUUGGUGUACCAUCUAAAACUGUUUAUGAGCCCCUUCUUCUCACCAUAGGUCAAUACCAAACGUAUGUGUUGCUGUUUUGAUUCGUCAUGGCUUCAAAGCUCAGCUGGAAGUAAAGAACUUACGAUCUGUUGGUGAGGCACUGGGGCAAGCCCGCUUUCAAGCCCACAGGCAGUGAGUCGUAUAGAUUUUACUUAGAUUAUGUGGCACAUCAGAAAACACCCGAGUGGGUGAUGUUUUCAGCUAGCAGUGUAACCAUUUAUAAAGACUGAGAAACCACCUUGUUUUUGUGGUCUAGGCGCUGUAAUUGAAAACCCAUUUCAUCGUCUACAUUAACGGCAGUCUAGACUUGAAGAUCAGCAAAAGAAAUGGCAACAACCAGUUCUCCGUUUGUUCUUCAUAUCCAUGUCUUUUAAGCAUUCCCAUUGUUUUCCUGCCUUUGUUGCCAUGAAAACACAGAGCAGAACCCCGAAGGACCAAGGCCACAUUUUGUUUUUUCUUGAUGUCUCUGUGUGAUUAAGUGUCUUCAGAGCUCUCAGUGUCAUGUUCCAGCUCUCUUCUUACCUUAAUGAGAAAGUGCAGGAAAGAAGUCACUACCCGGUAAGUCUGUUCUUAUUUUUUUUUUCUUGUUCAGCAUGUCUGUUUCAUUUCUCUCUCACACCGCUACGUGAGCGAGGUGCAGCUGUGAGAUGAUGAAGUUUCAGGGAAAGGUGGAUGUGCCAUCCAUUACAGGAGGUGGAAAGGUGCAGAUAAAUCACCUUAUCAGCCCUGCCUUCUCCCCACUGAGCUGAGGGAGCAGAGCAAGAGGGAAAUCCAUCAAGCUCCACAAAUGGGACAUGACUCAGAGAUCACUGUGCCUCUGUGCUGGGCUGUGUACAUACCUUACACCUGCUUUAUCAUUGGAGAAUAACUCGGAACAACGAACAAGUGGAUAUCAUCCUGUAAGAUGCAAAAGCAUCCAGUGAAAACCCCAGACCUUCAGCAAACAGAGCUCAGGACUUCUCAGACAGUGCAUGUAGAAUGAUACAAGACCUGGAGUAGUUUGGAUUUUUUUUAAGUAUGUCCAAAAAUAUGAGAGUCAGGAAAUUUGAGGAGUAUAGAGGAUGGAUGUGGCUAAUGUUUACAGGGCUAGCAACACCAGCCUUUGACCUCCUGUGAGGUUCAGGACCACCUGUACUGGAUGAGCAUCACUCUAGUUGAGUAUCUCCACAUUCUUCAAAAUACAAAACACUGCCACACUGCACCACGCUACAAGAUGCACACAGCCAUUAUUUUACACCCACUGCUACAGUUGUGAGCGGUUGCACUAGAACUUGGACAAAACAGAUGGUGAGCCAAAAUACUUCAUUCAUUCAACCAUCUAGUGACUCUGAGCUGAAAACCUUAAGUCAUCAAGUCAACCAAACACAUACAACCCUGUUGACUAUAAAUGAAAGCAAUGCAUGGACAUGGAUCAAAGUCCUUUUUCACUAUCAGCUGGUGACACCAUAAGACCCAAAAGGUCGGUGAUCGCUUUGAAGGGGGAAUAUUAUUCAUAUUAUAACAUACUUCUUCACAUGGUUAUUACAUUCAUCCUUUAUCUAUACAUAGCAUUAUUUUCCAUUAUAUUUUUCGUGUCUGCAGCAUUGUUACCAAAUAAACCAUGACUGAAUCAUAUGCAGGUUCUGCAACAUCAUCAUUGACUUCAAAAGUAUUACUCUCUCGUGCCUUUUCACUAGUUAUUUUUCUUAUAUUGGCAAAGUAAAAUAAUAAUAAUAAUUCAGACACCCUCUUCUUUCACGAGUGCGUCUUUUCUGCCUGUUGUGCGUAAACUUUAAAGCCAAGUAAAAAAACAUGACCAGAUACUUUUAAGGGCGUGCUAAACAUAAUAAAUUAAUGUCAACUAUCAAUUCAUCAUACGCUCAUCUGUUUUCAGUGAUCCUCUGCAUCUGAGCAUACACAUCCACAAUUACUGUACAGUGUGCACCUAUGGCUCCUUCAUACAAGGUUGCUAAGCAACAAUAAUGACAGUGACCUUUUAGAAAUCAGUGGGAUAUGAACCACCAGUAGAAGGGGACCACGGCACACACACAUACUUUUAGGGCCUCAGUGUUUAUUAUCAGCUGGCAGACUGAACGGACUGACUGAAAACAGCACACAUGCAAAAAAACACACACCUUCACAUAACAUCACGCACAAGCAUUAAGCACAUUUUUGCCCUUGGGGAAAGCAGAGGAGUUAGCAUUUCCCCGCCAGCUCUGAAUGUAGCAGCUUGUCACCACACCCCCUUAAUGUAAGAGCAGUCUAUUGGUAUUCAGCUGCACAGGUAUCUAAGAAAGCAAAGCCUUUAAACAUCUUAACUGCUGUUUGUUCUGUCUCUAGAGGGCAUGUGCAGUACACUGGGGGUUUGGGAAUAGACAAGGAGAAUUGCAAAUUUGUUUUGCCAGCUACAUGUGCUCUGUAAUUCCAUCUCUGAGCUCUGCAUUGUAGCUGAGUGUGUUAGGUUUAUACAUAAACACCCACAAAGGUGGGAUGUUUUGUUUAAUUCUUAAAAGAAUUGGAGUUGUUUAGUUAUGAUUAAUGACUUCUCCACAGGAGAAACAUGAUGCAGACGGCAGAUAUCGUGUUGCAUUGUGUUGUUGUUUUUGUUGUUGCUCUCUUGCUAUUUAUUUCCUCUGAGUAGACAGAAAUCAACAAGUACAUACAAGACAUAACAGAGGUUUGUAUUUCAUAUCUAAUUGGCACAAGACACCACCUCUGUAACAAAUAAUGGAUCACUAAACGCGAACAGCUAUUUGUAUAUACAUAUUUAUAUGACACUCGACAGAUAUUAGUUUUCUUUGCAUUUGAUAAAAUCAAACAAUUAUAGAAUACAGAAAAAUAAGAAACACAAUUUCUGAUUUGAAUGAACAUUUUCUCAAAUAAAUGUAGAUUGAAUAAUUUCACUUAGAUGAGUGAAAUAUUGACACAAAGAAACACUACUUGGAAACUCUUUUAGAUUUGUUAAGUUGUCAUUUAUGGUGUAAGAAAUAUGAUGUAGACACUGGCACUCAGGCUGAUGCGAUGUCCACUCGAUGUGACGCAGAUUAUUCAAAAUAUCAAUACGAUAUAGUCAGCCGACCAAUUGCCUAUAAAGUUUUUGCUUUGUUUUAAUUUUAGUAAAUCUAUGGGAAUCCAUCAGAAGAGCCUUCAAUGGACAAUUUUUGUCCUUAAGCUAUCUGUUAAGUACGGCGGUUGUAGAUAGACUUGAAUUUUUCUGCCGUAAAAGACGAGAAAUCGAUAAAACUAGACAGGACUGAGGCCUGUAAACCAUGCAACCUUGUAUCAUGACAUCAUUAUGUAUGUCAGGCUUAACUCUCGGCACUGUAGCUGUUCGUGUUUUACAGUACAAGCUAUCUGAUGCCUCACUUAAGUUCAGCGCAACAGGGAACAGCUUAAAUGAAAGCAGCAAAAGUUCCCCAGACGGGAAGUGUAAGAGAACAGGAAACCUUCUGUGUGUCUGUCUCUUAAGUCCUGGGCAUGCAUCUGAAUGACAAACCUGUGUGUCUGUCCCCCUUUUAAGAAAUCCUUUACAAGUGCUGAGACACCGGGGCCCUGCUUGUGGAGGCUGUAUAUUUCUAUUCAUAAUUGAUGACCCGGACCCAGACAGACAGCACACUACACAUGUAAUAUGGAUUCACUCCUGGUUUCAGAUGCAUGCCCUCGUCUGGACUUGACUCUGAGCCAUCAUUGUGUGUGGAGAGAGAAGGGUGUGUGGGCACGUGAGAGAAAGAGAGAGAGAGUGUGUGUGUGUCUGCAUGUGUGAAAGUGUGUGUGUGAUAGGGUUGUUGCAGCCUGAAACGUAAUACACCAACCUUGUGUUUCCCAGAUAAGCGUUGACAUGCUUUUGACUGAUAAUUCUCCAGAUGCUUUCACAGUUUUGUGUUUUUCAAAUUUUACAUUUUGUUACAUCGAUUACAUUAUUGCUCAAAAGUUUGAUUUUUUUAUUCUACACUCCCCACUCACACAAGGACCUUGACAAUAUGUAGACUCACAGUGGGUUAGCUGCUACUUUAGUUGCUUCCCAGGGACUCAUUGAUUUAAGUAACUAGGUCCUGGGGCCUUUGUUUAGUCUCACCUUACUGCUUUCUCUCCAUUUUAGUCAAGGUUCAUUAAAGUACAUCUUGUUUUUUCAGAUCCCUCCCUGCUUUCUUUGGCCUUGUGCAUGAUGUAAUCCACUACCUGUGUGAGUGUUGCUGUGUGUUACUGCAGCUCCAGGAAACAUUAAGAGACUGCCUGUCAGAGGUUUGAAUGAAAUGUAUUUUGUUGUAUUUCUUAUAGAUUCCCAACUUCUAAAUAAAAUGUUUUCAUUUAGGUCUUUAUCUGUCUAAAAGUAUGACAGGUUUGAAUAAAAAAGAUCAAGGUUUUCUUCAACUAUGAAUAAUGUGAAGACAAACCAGUUCAUAAAACAGAUUACUUAUGUUUUACUCGGGAAGAGUUCAGAAAUCAAUACUUGCUUGGAUGAACCUGGUUUUUAACUCCGGCUAUUAUGUGUCCUGGCUUUACAUCACCCAUUGCUCUGUUGCAUUGUUAUUAAGAGACAUCAUGUAAAAUUUCAUGUAGCUUGGCUUUGCUCUUGGGAUUAUCAGGUGAUCUCUGAUUGAACCCCUUGUGGUCAAAUGAGGUCCAUCUGUGUUUUAAUUCAUGGACAGUAACUUUACAUGAUUUAUGUAAUGUAAACCUGCAAAUAGAUUUGUUCUCCCUAAAUGUGUAGUGAGCCAGUGGUUUAUGAAAUUAAUUAUGAAGAAUCUUUAUUUUAAGUUACUGUUUGGCUUCUGAAAUCUUAAUUUAUGCAUCAAAUCUGUGUUAAAGGUUGCAAAGGGACCAAAACAGCAAUCACCAAAUGAAAAGCCCAUUCUCACUCCUGAGGAGUGACUGUCAGCGGUCUGAAUUUAACACCUUAGAUUACUCUGAUGUCUUUUCUAAAAGUCAUCCUGAAGACCGUGGAAAGUUAGCAAAAGUCAGGUUUAGAAGUAGUUGAACUCUGCUGUUGAUGUUUUUAUAAAAGAUUACGAAGGGUCCAAAUAUGGCAAAGCUUGCAAGCUUGAUCAGGAUCAGGCUGAUCUUACACUUGAUAUUUGUAAUUCCUACAACUGUAUAACAAACUCAUUCCCCCAAUUUGGCGCUCUGUUAGAUCUAGAUUUCUAGUCUUUGUUUCUGCUUUGCUGUUGCCCCAGCAUCCAUACAUAAGUGCAUGACUCAAGUGCUCGGCCCUAUCACCACCCCAGCAUCCACCUGAAAACUCUGACCACAGAGUUUAUGAUAUUGUCUCAUUGGGCCUCAGUUUCUCUUUGUAAAGGUGAAAUGUGUGUCAUAUUUGACAUAGCUCUGUUGUGAUAAUAAUAUAAAUGUUGUGAGAAACCAGAACAGAUCAGGGGGGUAGUUUGAUAAAUUUUUGUUAUUUAAGUUGAUGACUUUCUUGAUUUCUGUCCAGAUAAAAGCCACGUGUGCUUCAUCUGAAUGAGCCUGUUUCCUCUCUUUGUAUCCUGAUUGAUUCUGCCGUUUAAUGGACUUGUGUGUUCGCUUCCGAGUCUCACUUUCUCUCCUCUGGUCUCAACUGAAGUUCACAGGGGUCAGGGUUCAUACCCCACGUUCCCAUGGCAACAUAUGACACAUCACCCUCAAACAGAAACUCCCUCUCAAUCCUCCGUAAUGGAUUUGACCCCUGAACUCUGCCCCUCACUGCCUUUCAAACUGACAUAUAGCUGAGUGUGAAGCCCUGCUGGCUCUAGCCUGAAGCCAUAUCCUCCAUAUUACUCUGCACAUCUUUGCCAGCGAAGGGUUGAUGAUCAGCUCUUUGGCAGCAUAUGUCAUCAAAGUGAAGAGGCGUGCAUGUCAGGCUGAUACCAUCACCAAAAGCAAAAAAGAAAGAAGGAGCACUUUUACAUCUGUUAUGAUUUAACGUGAAUCAUAAUCUUUACCAGCAGAGCCUGACUCACUGCGACCUCACGCAGUUUCCCUGUCAUCAUUAUGCAGCUUCACCUCACUGCAGCCAAUCCCGUCGUCCAUCCAGCCUCGCUUGCUGCAUCAUUUAUGAGCACUAAUCAGGAUCCCAGGUCUGGUGUGCUAGCCACCCUACCGCUAACAUCACUUCCCUGACCUGACCCUGCCUGUUUCCCCACAGCAUUAACGCGUGUUUACGCUAACGCCUGCUCAUUAUGCCUAACUAUGCUAGGCCAGAGCCUGCUGCCUGAGCUGGAUCUAGGGGCCCUUUUUAACAUGCUCUAACCAGCCCCGGCGCCCCUCCCUCCCCCCUUCCUCCAAUGGGGUACUGAGAGUUGCUACGUGCUAAUCUCAAACAACAGGAAAAGGCAACAUCGGUAGCAAGUCCACAUAGAGGUGGUUUACUGGGAGACAUGGCCUGCGAGGACCUGCGAUCAGCCUCCAUUAUUGUUGUAAUUAGCGCGCCUCGGUGGAGCACAGGCUCCCAGGCAGCGUGCCUCGACCUCCCUGCCUCUCAGUCUGUUUACAGCCAGCCGAGGCAACAGAGAAAGGGCAGGGGGCCGGCCACACGGCUCGAUGCCUCUGUUCGGCUCCAGCAGCAACACAGCUGUUUGUUCAUUUGAAGCGUGGACACAUGAGGGUUUUCGUUUCUCCGCUGUCCGACGCUAUUCAAAUGUUUAUUUUACCUGCAGAACGGGCAAAGGCAAGCUAAACGCCUGAGGAGAUUCAGGGGGGUUCAGAUAGAGUGUUUGUGUUUUUGAUCAGGUAUUCUGAAAGAGUGUAGCAGCAUUAGCCGGUGAACAUCAAUCAAUGUCAGGAUCAGGCCUGUAAAAACAUCCUCUUAACAUUUGAAUUAGUACCAUUCAAAGUCUGCAGCCAUCUGAAGAUGUGUGACAUUAUACAUGGAUGUGUGCACCUCUCUUCUCACACCUUAGCUCCCCUCGCUGCCCCAACUCCUUGACGUCCCCCUCCCUAUCAUUAUGAGGCCACCCCCCUGGUGCGCCACCCAUCCCCUGAUCACCAAUUAGAAAGGCUUGUCCCCUUUCCCCCUGCGCGGAUGCAGAGGUGGAGGAGUGGAGAGGCAGCAAAGGCAGCAAAGGUAGCAAGGCGCGAUUAGGGCAGUGUGAGGUGGAGGUCCCAUGAAGGACAAGGCUCCCUGGGUGGCUGAGCGAUGAGCAGGGGAGCGUGAAGGGCUGAGGCAGGUCUUUCCCACAGACCAUCAGUCCUUUAGUGAGUCAGUCAGUGUUGUAAUGCUUGAGCACAAAGUGUAAUCAGACAGGCUCUAACACAACAAUUUUAGUCUCUUUUUUGUGCAGCUUUUCUUGGAUAAUUUGACGUAUCCAUCCAUCCAUUUUCGACGUAUUUAUUUAUUUAUUUUUUAUGCACAUCUUCUCCUGCCUGUGUGGUAUUUUUUAAUUUCCUCAUCUGUCUCCUUGUUAGGGCGGCUGCUGUUACAUUAUUCUGAUCAAGAUGAGACAUUGUAUUCUGUGUGUGAUCGUGGCCUUCCCCAGUGUUUCUCCUUGUUGUCUCACUUCAUUCCGUCUCUGUCUUAUUGUAUCUGAUAAGAGACCCCGUUGUUGCAGUGUGGUAAUGAAGCCCUGCGUGUUAGAAGAGCAGCACCGCCGGGCAUGCAGGCCCUCGCACACCUCGGAGAGGCAGAGAGGCGCGUGCAUAUCGAUCUUAUAUUGUUUCCUUGAACCCGGCUUGCCUCGGCAUACUUUGUGCUGGCGCUCAGUUCUCUGUAGUCUAAUGUGCUGUCAUGAAUAAAGGCGAGUUACGGUGCUGUGCGAGUGUGAGAGUGUGUUUUAAAAAAUAUUUCUAAACAGAAAAAAGAUCAUUUCAAUCCUAGAACCACUGUUAGACCACUUGUUAAUUUCACUCACUCCGAAUUAUUAAAAAAUUAGUUGUAUUGUAAUAUUUAUCAACAAGGAAGAUGUUUAAAUUUUGAUUUGGACUAAGAAUAUAAUUUGUUAAUGUGUCUGCACAGACGGCAUUAAAGCAGAAGAGUACAUCAUUUCACACCAAACAUAAUUAUGCAGCAAAGUCUGCACCGAGCCCAAUAAAUAAACUAUAGUGCUAAAUAUUUGACAGAAUACUAAUAAUUCUAAUAUGCAUUCAUUAGAGACUACAGGCAUCCUAAUAAAUAAAUGAAUGGGAGGUCCAGCAGCAUCAUGCCAAAGCUUCUCAUCUAUAAAUCUAAUGUUAUUCUGGAUGCAGCCUGUUUACAUGGGGCCUAAUCUUCUCAUUCAUACCGGCUGUGCAUGUGUGUGUGUAUGUGAGUGUGUUUUGCAUGUGAUAUUAAGUGUGAUCUAAAGGGCUAAAGCACCAUCUGGUGGUGAUACAGCACAGUGCUGUGCUCUGAAAUAGGGCUCUCUCUGUGCACUGAUGAACCUUCAUGACCAGGUUAAGACGUUUCUGCAGAUACUAAGGAGACAACUUCAUUUUGAAGCUUUUGAAACUUUUCUGCGUUUUUUCGCAAAACACUUGUUCAAGAGCUUUAUGAGUGAAAUCUGUUUACACGUUUGACCUGGAAAAAAACUUUCAAAGGAGACUUUUAGGUCAGGAAAGAUUAUUUUUAUGUACUGUUUUAUUUUUCAGCUUAUUGUCGUAAAAAUAUCCAGAGAGCAAAAUCCCCAUGCAAAAAAAAAUCUCACAUUUGUUGCAUCACCGGUGCUGAAGCUUGUUUAUUUGCAAAAUAGCAUUAAGGCUUGUCCAGCGUUUUUGACUCACAAUUCUUUGUACACAAAAGACUUAUUUGCUGUAAUGCAUGUAGAAAGGGCCUCACUGUUCUGUCCUCUCUAAUUGGUGCUGUCAGGCAUCCCUUCGCUGGCGUGUUUCACAGUCUGAUCUGAUAACCCAGUCCACAUGAAGAGAGGAGUGAACGACAGCCUGAGCCAAGUUAAAAAAAAAAGAAAGGAAGAGGAAGAAGAAGAGAGGAGAUGCAGGUGGUUAAGGAUGAUCGACUGCCAAGUAGACGACAGCCUGCUCUCUCUUUUAUAUAUAAAUAGUUGUCUUUCACUCGGUAUCUGUGCAAACAAUUGCUGAUCAGAGGUGUGUAAGCAGGUAGAGGGGGAGGGCCUCUAAUGCAACAUGACAAAAGUGCUACUUUGAUAUCGCUCGUAUGAUUACCCUCGUUAGGAGCUAAGUGAUAAGAUAGAAUGGGAAAACAGACAUGAAGGCCUUUUAAGUGCAGGGAGGGGCAUGAUGUAGAAGUGAAUGCAGAGAAAACACUUGAUUUCUUUUACUCUGUCUUUCCCACUAACUCACCAGUCCAAAUUUCUUUGACAAUUUCAACCUUUUUUUAUAAACAUUUCUCAUGUUUCUUUUCUUUAAUUUGGCAUGCAUUUGUGGGUGUGUGUGUGUGUGUUCAGGAAAAUGUGUGACCAUGUGUGUGUGCGUGACAGUAAUACCUGUGUUACAGUCAAAAGUAAGUAACUUCAGAAGUCGAGUGUAUCAUGUUGCGGGGAUCUUCUCUGUGGUGACAACAGUGAUUAAUAAUGGAAAGCAGUUGUUGGCAUCUCCAGCUGAAAUUUUCAUGAAACUUCGCUAACGUGAUUAAAGUGUACGUCUUCCUAGAGUCACUCCGAGUCUUUUAACUCCAAUCUCUGGGGAGGGGCAACAAAUCAUGGUUGAGACAACAUGUCAAAUCGCACAGAAUCUUCUGCACGUCAGAAACAAACUCCUUUUCUUUUUUUCUGUUUGUCCUUGCUGAUAUUUGAACUCCUCAGUUCUUACAUUGAAAAAGUUUGAUUAUUUGCAGCAUUUUACAGUUUUUUUUCUCACAUAAUUUCCUUUUAAGUUAAUUGUAAUUUUUCUUAUAAUUUCAGAAAGCGGGCCUUAGGAAUAUGAUUAAUGUUACUGUUAAACCCUUUAUUGCCAGGUACACUGGGGUCAAGACAAAAGAAAUGUAUUUUAUCACAUUCUAGACCAAGUUUUUCCAACAAUGUUAGGCAUGAGUCAAAAAUCAGAGACAAACAGGUGUCCCAUUUGUAAAUUUGAGCAAAUAAGUGCUCAUUUGUCUUUUUUUAAAUGCCUUGAAAAACCAUGCAGAUCAGUUUUUCUUCACAUGUUAAAGUCUACAUACCCAAAUGUAAGUGUUUCAGUCUUACACCAUGCUGGAAAAUCACCAAAUAAUUUUCUUCCUGAGCCCAGAUAAAUAAAGUUGACUGCCAGCGUGCCAAGUGUCUCUUCCUGUGAAAAAGUGAUCUAUAUUUCAGAGGAAUUUAAUGACAUUUCUAUUUUCUCCUCUCAGAGAGACUUCAGGAUUCAUCUUUAUAUUUUUCUGUAGCGAAUGGAUAAAUGCAUUUGCAGCUUCUGCUCAGCUAAGUUUAUUUAUAUCUUAGGAUGCAUUUAGAAGCCCGGGCUGCUGUCACGGGGAGAUGGCUCUGCUCACUUUGGAUUGUGAGGUGAAAAUGUAUGAAAAAAGGCUUGAGAUGGAGAUUCAGCGCAAAGUAGCCGGGAGUGUUGUGGCAGCAAAAAUAUCAGCUCGCUUAAAUGCUUUCUCAAACAUUUCUUGAAGAGGCACCAAGAUUAUCCGUUAUCUUUCUUUUUUCCCCUCUCCGUCUUCUCUCUUUUAUUUUUUGUCCCCCAAAUUUCUCCUUUUGUGUCUCUCCUUCAUCCCUAAAUUUUCCACACACUUCUACAGAACUCCUCAGCAGAUUUCUCCCCUCUGUGCUCUCUGAAACAGCAACACAGAUUAAAACAGUAUCAGUAUGUUAAUGAUGGGAGCUAAACUUCUUAGUUUUAUCAUUCAUUCCUCAUGUUUGUUCUCACUUGUUUUCACACUUAAGGACAGUAUUAAUUGUAAUUCUGUUACUAGAGAUCUUUCUUUGAAAGGACUGAUUUAAUGCAAACAAAAAAAAAUGUCAGUCUUUUUUUCCCCUCAUUGUUAACAAUCCUCUGAAAUUACCAUAACUGGAAAUUGCAUCAUUCACAUCAGUGUAUGUUAUCAGUACAUCCAAGGCCUGAUUCAGUGUAUCCUAUUCCUUAACUUAUUUGGACCCACUUCUAAUGAGCAUGAAUUUGCAAAUGGAAAUCGUCCUCGGCAAAUGUAACUCUUAGUGUUGUUUAAAUUAUGUUUGAACGAUCAGUUUUUAUUUUCCAAAGUAAAAACCUGUGGAAAUGGGAGUUAACAGCAAAACACGUUUCUGAGAUGAGGAUUAGAGAAGACACUUUAAGGAAGUCAAAUACUUGUCAUAUCCCUGAAGUUCUCAAGUACUGAUGUUUAGUCAAGGCCCUUGUUAAGACCAGAAUAGCGUCCAGUUUCCAGUUAUAGGCAGGGGCAAAUUCUCAGUUCCAUCAUGGAGAUCAACUUAAGUUCAAGUAUAAAAAUAAGUCCAAAAUCAGUGGAAAAGGUGUUGCACAAGGAAAAAAAAGAACGCUUUUCAGCUGAGAGCAUCUCAGAAGAACUGAUGGUUGUAAAUAAAAUUAAAAAGUUGAACGCUGGUGUUUGGAUGCAUCUUUAACGUAUGGAGGGAUACGCCAUAUAAGACAGUGCACUUCAGUUCAUUUCAUAAGCUUAUAGACACAGUUAUACAGAGCAACACUAAACUCUGUACUCAAAUGUCCUGUUUUUGUCUCACGACCACAUCUCUGUCCUUAUUCAGUUCUCUGUUUGUUUGUCUUUUUGUCAUAUUCUGUCUCUAAAACCAUUUAACUGUAAUAUGUUCAUUCGUAAUUAUUUUUAUACUGAGCGCCCUCAUACCUUGGUUACAGCAAGUUAAUAUGCCGCUAAAAAGAUUGAUGUGUUGUGAAAGAAUAUGUAUUGAUAAUAGAAAGGAUAGAAACAAUAUCAGGAUCUGAUAGAAAGGCCUGCUUUAUUUAUUGACCCUCUGCAGUAAAAGAAAAUAAAAACCUGAGUUUAUAUUUGAGGAUUUAUGGGCCUGAAAUAAACACAGGGAGUUUUGAGUAUAUAUUGAUAUGUAUGAACAGCAGCAACCUCAGUCCUCAUCUACAAGUCAUAAGUAAAUAGCAGUGAAGUAAAUUUCAGCUCAGUUUAAACCUCUUUUCCUCUUCCUGAUGGUUUAACAACAUCUACACAGGCCAACAUACCCGGCCUAACAACACCACCUUUACACUUCCUCCUGGAUUAUAAUGUUAUUCAAACUAUAUGCUGUAAUUUGAACAGAGCAGAAGGGCUUGUGCUGACUCAAAUUUCCCUCCUCAUUUGACUCUCUCUACUUCCAAUCCUCUUUAUUUGGGCUUCCAAAGAGCGAGCAGCAUAAAUUGAAUAAAAAGAUGUGUGUAAAUGAAUAUGAAAAGCAAUGUUCUCUUCAGUAGAGCAAUGAUCACUGUUUUCACAUUCCAUCUCAUUUUUGUGUUUUCUCUCCUACCUUUUCACACUCUUCCCCUAAGGCAAUAAAACAGUACUUUUACAUAUAUUACCUUUUGAUUAAUGGAGCUGUAUUCAUUAUUCUGCCCUAUUGCUAAUUAGAAAACGCACCCUGCUAAUGAUAUACAGUUGGAAUAAUACUUGCCCACGAGGCACGCUAUCACAUCAGGUUUCAUGCUCGCUGCUACGAGCCUUUAUCCACAGAUGCCUCCUUCAACCCCGCGCGGCACGUCCAUUAGCAAAAGAGUCACGGCUAAGACUGGGUGUCAUUGUUUUUUUUUCUGGCAUAAUGAGGCCUGUUUUCUCGGGGGAGUUGUCGCUGAGGGUUGAUGAGGUGUGCAAGCAUUGAGUCAGUCUUAAUCAGGAGAUUUGUGAGGGCACAAGAAUGUGUAUGUGUGUGUGUGUGGUCCUGAUUUAUUUUGUAUUGCACAGGUAGAUAUCUUAAUUUUGUGAAAUUUUGUAACAUUAUUUUAUUUCGUAGUGCGGUGCAGACAGAUACAGUGAAAGGGUUAACGUGGUAUGGUAGCAGCAGUAGCCCUGAAAAUGCUCCUAUGUGACCGUCCUGUCAUGGUCCAAACAUCCAAUGGUAGUGACAACCAUCAAUAUCACACCAGCCGACUUGUCUGUACUAAUGCAGGUUUAUUCCCCUGGUCAGGCCCCAACUGUGUUAAUGGCUGGAGGGGUGUGAUGGAGGCGGAGGGGGAGGGGAAGGGUCGUGACAUAUUGGUGACAAGGUAACACCAACUUUUGGGCUGACAUCUGUCAUUUGUCCUCGUAAGACAAACAGCCUCCUGAUACUUUGUAUCUUGGCUGAUGAAAAGGCUAGUCUAUCCAUUUUACACAUGAUCUCAAACAUUUUUUUCUACAUUUUCAUUUUGGCUAGACUCCAAUUUAUUUUUUAUUUUAAAUUUAGAUUUAUUCAAAUACCUUAUUGAAAUUUCUCAACCAGAGAUUAGUAAGAAAAAUGCACUCUGCUCUUAAAAGCUGUGCCUCAAAAUGUUAUCCUAAAUACUCUAGUCUUUUACUGGCAAACAUGUUGUAUCUAAAGGCAGCAAAAUCAUAUUAUCCAACUUUAUCUUAACUGCAAAAAUAUAUUCCAGGGUUCUUGAAAUUUGAGUCAUACCAGUUUCAGAUGUAGUCUGUUUUGGAGAAAAAGAUUGAUAACAGGCCUGUCACAUUACCAGAUUUUUGCCCUCUGAUUAUCAUAAGCAUAAAAUAAAAUGAUAAUGACAAUAUAAUUACAAAAUUCAUGGAAAACGUGAUAGGUAUACAAUGCAGUCAGUCAAAUCAAGAAAAGUUAAGGCAAGGAUGGAGCAAUAUGUUACUCUAUAUACGUAAUUAACUUACAUAUUACCAUUUAUUUGCAGCAAUGUUCACAUCUAUGGUUUGUCUCAUCACCAGCCCUGCAACUGAAACGUUUUUGGAGAAGAUGUUGUCUCAUAAAAUGAUUGUUUGUCGUGCUUUUAUUUUCAAUUUUUUUCCUGUCUUGCAUUUAGUUUGCUACAGCUGGCUCACCAGCAGCUCCUGCUUCUUCUUAGUCCGUCUUCAGUUUUACAGAGUGGCAACUGGCUUAAAGGGGGGGUAACAUACUUUUCCACAUUUACAACAAAAACUGCAAAGUUACAAUGUUUGGUGUCCAAACUACAUGUAUGCAAAUUUUCAAAUCACAAGGUAAACCUAAUUCGUCAAAAUAUUAGAAAAUACAUAUAAACUGCACAAAUCUCAGACAAACACUCGACAAUGCAAGACUGUAGUUUAUGUUCGAGAUUUACUAAGAAUUGUAGACUCUCCUUACUGGUUCAAUCUGUGCUUACAGCGGGAAACAGCGAGCUCUGACACCAGCUGGCUUCCGGAAAGCCUUCGGAGAGGUAGCCAAUCAGAAGAAAGUGGGCUUGUGGAGGGGGGGCCUUAAAGAGACAGCAGCUACUGAAGCGUUUCAGAAGAAGGCUGAAAUAAUGAUAUUUUAAUACACCACUGUGAGAAAUUUGAGGCUUUUUUGAUAUGAAAAUCACGUAAAGCUGUUAAAGAGGUAUCAGAAAAGAAAUCUAGAGUCUUUAAAAAAUGCAUAAUACCCUCCCUUUCCCCCCUUUAAACAAAAACGACUAUAAACUCACAGGAUUACUGUGUACUUAUUUUUUUAUCACAGUAUCAAUAUUUCACUAUUUUUUUAAAUACAGUUAUUGUGAACUGUCUUUGACAUCUUUUUUCAUCACCUGGAGUUGCAACUCCUGUUGAAAUAUUGGACUUAUUUUUUUUUCAACCUUUAAAAAUAGGUAAAAACCCCUUCAGAUUGAGAUCUCUUUUAGAAGGGUGACCUGGCCAAGAGGUCAGCAACACACUAACGACUUACGCCUAUGAUACAAUUUUUGGUCCUUGGGUUUGGACCCCACCACCAAUUACCUAAGACUUGUACCACCCAGUUUUGCUAUAGUUUUGCUAACUUCAUGCCACUAUUUUUAAGAGCAUGAAUGUAAUCUAUUGAGAGAGAAUAAAUUUGUUGUCAAAAUUAAGUACAGAUCACUUUGGACCAUAAUUCCAAUCUCCAAAGAUCAUAUUCAGCAGAUAUUAUAAUAUAGAGUGUGGCAAAACACCUCUCUGUUGUGCUUGAAGGUACAUAUAUUUUCCUCUAGCUUGACAAAAUUGAAAAUUAAACCCAUCUUUUGUGUCUCUGUUUUAACAUUACAGCACUUUCUCCAGGCUGUGUGUCAAACUGAGACUCAUGCACAUGCGCACACAAAAUUGCAGUGCCAGAAAUUACGCCUCUGGUCAGAGCAAAAUAGAGAGCGUGUCUGAGAGAGAGUUUUCUUUGGUUUCAUUUGACCCUGCAAUAAGGGAAGUGAAAAGGCUGUAGUAGCUACAGGAGGUAGAUUAGAGGAGGUCUGCUCUCUGCAGUCUACAGAGAGAAAGUGUCAAAGGUCAUAAAGAAAACCUAGGAAAUGUGCCAAGGAGCCGUUAACACUUCUUUCCUACUUUUGUGGCUCAGAGGUCAGCAUUUUCUAAAAUUACCCCUUCUUAUUUUCUCUUUGCUGCUCUCUGCAAGCACCAUUACAGGCCAGCGCACAGCCAUUAGAGAUCAACAGCCCAUACAGUUGUAAUAGCACCCUCACAUAGCUCUAGGGUCUGCUAACCUAUAGCCUCUGUGCUCUAUGAGCCUGCUGCUGUAGUUCUCACUGAGGUCAAGUAGGUUAGCACUGAGGCUGUGCUGCAGGAGUACAGGCAGUGCAACAAGCAUGUUUACAAUCUGUCCAAGCUCUGGUUAAAUAAUAAUGAUAAUGUGAUGCUUUAUUGAUUCCUGAGGGAGAAUUGUUUAUCCAAAGGGAGUUCACAGUGUGCCUAUUACACUGAUUUCAUUGUCUGCCCUAGGGCACAUAUAGUUUUUAUGCUACAGCUGGAUCUACAGUAAUAACAUCUGUAAACAUCUCUCUUUUGUCUUUUAACUCUGUUGAUUCAAUUGAUUUAACAAAGGAGAUAUUGGUUGAAAAUGGAGCAGCUAAGGCAAAACGGAGACAAAGGUUAGGAGGAUUUGAAAGAGUUGUAAUACUGCAUUGUACUGGAUCCUGUAACUUUCUGAUUUUAGUAACUACAAACACUCUCAAUCUUCUAAAACCUGUUAUAGGGCCCUCCAAAUCCUGUAUGAGGUUGAAAUAGAACAUUAGAAAAGAGUGAUUGUUUGGCUAAUGUAAAUUCAGAAUAUCAGCUCUGUGUGUGUGUAGACCUGUUUCUACAUUAUGAAUCAGAUAAACUUGUGAUAAGAGAUUUAACAACUUUCAGAACUUUGUCAUUUUAAUAUUUAGGUGCUCCCUCUUGUAUUUAGACCUGUUCUGAUUGUUUGGUUAGACGUUCAGCUAUGCUCAGCAUGGGGAAAAAUCUAUCCGGAUUGACACAGAAUUGCAUUGUCAACUAAAAACAUAGCAUGCAGUCGUAGAGGAAGACUUGCCACUACACUAGGCAAGAGGAGAUAUUUCCUUCUUUGUCCCUCUGGACCCUCGAAUCUCACUUUUCCAUUUUGAUCGCAUCACAUACUCAGUACUUACUGAGUCCUCCAGAGAUGGUGACUUGUCUGUCAGAGUGACAUGAAGGCAAUGAAGUCAAAACAUGAAAUCACAGGAGGUGACAACACUGCGAGGACAGAUACAGAAAGUAGCUUGAAUCUUAUCGUCACAUUUGCUGUAUGCAUCACACAAUUUCCUCAGGCUGCCCAGCUCUGUCUUUUCCUCUUUUUUACAAAAAAGAAAAUUAAACUAGGUCUUACAUGUGCAACUCAUCAACUAUCCUAAGGCAACAUAGAGUAAAAUAGUAGUAACCCAUUUUGUAGGGUUUUUGGGGAGGUUUUGGCUGCUUAUGAAACAGGCGUGAAUUAAUAGUGAUGUCUUUUUAUGACCAACAAAAGCAAAGCCAAAAAGGACCAUUAACUACAAAAAUGAAAACCUCUAUGUUUUUGAUUUUAAUGCCUCUAACUAAUAUUAGGUAUAAGAUGAGAUGACUUACAUUAUGCUGAAGAAUCUUUUGUACUUUUCCCUCAAAAAUAUUCCAAAUGAGUGACACAUUUUACUUUUAGAGGAAAGCAAAAAUCAGAAAAUUUGUAAGGGGUAUUACCAUUAUCAUUCCCACAAACUAAAAGUUCCUCACAUAGUCUCCAACAUAUUGACCCAAAUAUUAAACAUUUUUAUCUUCUUUCUUGAUAUAUCUGGAAAAAAGGGCUUAUCUUUCAGUCAGAGUUUUGGAUUUGAUUGCUAACAUAUAGUUUGUUUACAACAGUGGACUAUGCCACUCGUUUGUAAAAUGAGUUCAUGAGAACAUUAAUCAGUACUUGUCAAUGUUCAUUGACAGUAGAAAUGAAAAACUUUCUGUCAAAUGUAGAAAAUGUUUGACCAGAACUGAAGUAUUUAUCAUUAUACACAGGAUCAAAUAGUUACGGGCAAGAAAAAAAACCUAAACCGGCAGCAGAGCCACUUAUUCAAUUAUUUUAUCAGCCAUCUGUAAAAGACCGAUACAGACAAUCAGCGAGAUAUCGGCCCUAAUUGUGCCCCACUUUACUGAAGCCAGCUGUUACAACUACAGCACCAGGGGAAUAAAAGAUACAGAGACAAGUUGAUUUCUGAAACACAGUGGCUUGAAAGUUGGCUAAGCUAUUUAACAACUGAGACAGACUUCUGUUGCAAUUUUAGGAUAACGGUCAGAUAAACUUUCAAGGAUCCAAGAAAUACAUCACAGGUUGUCAAGUCUGAAGAUGGCAAGCCACAAAAGAUUGUCUUCAAAUGUUUGAGUUUGUUAUUAAAAAUUACCAGACCAUCUAUCCACUCAGAAGACUACUUCGGCAUCCAAACCAUAGUUGCUUCAUUUACAAAUGUGACAAGGUUCAGUUUCACUGAAGUGUGACAAUUUACUUAAAAAACAAUAAAUGAAAAAAUUGCCAUUAAAGAAGUGUUAAAAUAACAGAUUUUUUUAAAGUUCAAAAUCUAUGUUUGACCAUUAUUUACUUUUAAAUUGGUUUAGGUGUAAAGUAAGGUUUGAUCUUCAAAAAGUCUUCACUAAAAUGUAAUCAUUAAUUGUCUCAUAUUGAAGUCAUUAUAGUGUUUAUUGUUCAAUAUCUUUCACUGUCCACACUAGUUUGAUUUAUAAACAUUGCAUUUUUUUUUCAAUUUAUUUUUGAACAGCAAGAAAUUUUAUACUUCCUUUUCAAGCCGUGACAUGUCCAAUAUUUCCUGAAGAAAAAAGAAAGUAAUGCCAAAUACUUUCAAUUUGACUGUUUAAGCAAGUAGGACUGGUUAAAUUGUCUGUUAAUUCAUUUUACGGUUAAAAAAAAAGAUAUUGCACUGGAAAAAUAAAAUGCUCCUUCAAAUAGGGGCAUUAAUGUUAAAUAGAUAUCCAUUCUUAGCCCGAUGCUAAAAUGUCAAUACUAAUAUUACAGUAAUCGACAUCACUCAUCAUGACAAAGUUGGUAUUAGUGUCUACUACUGAGAGAAAAAACUAGUUCACAGUCAACAGAGAACAUUACAAAGAUUUUUAAGUUAAGCCUGCCUUUUAAUCGUAGAACAGAUUGUACAGUUGAAAACUGCUGAGUAAAGCAAACAAAGGUUGUAGAAGAAGUGAUUUCUAAACUUAUUUUGCCUCAAUGAAUUUUUUUUAAACUUUGUAUCAAAUAUGUUUUGGAAAAUUUGAAACUCCACUAAAAUACAUGUUUGUGAAAGUGAGUAAUGUGCUAUUUUGGUUUGGUAUAUUCUUUGCAAAAUUUUUGAAGUUUGACAUUCUCCAGUGUUGCUCUUGCUCUUAAGUACAAAGCCUCUCCAUCCUGUAGUUGGUGUUCUUUUCAUUAACAUUUUAUUUAGGUGAUAAUUAAACUUCAUUGUUAACUUUCAACUUUGUUCUCUCAGGUUUGCUUUGUUCUGUCUUCUGCUCCAUACCUCUCUGCUUCUAAAAGCAUCAUGCGAAACCUGCCUCAUCCUCAUCCCCAACGCUUGUUCUUCAUCCCUACAAUGAGUCUUUACACCAGGGCGACCUCAGGCCUUCAAAGAGUUAAGUUGAGGGUGUAGGAGAAAGAGUGCUGGCAUGGAUCCCCAGGACAGCAGGCCAAUUAUAAAAUUAUGAGUGAAGUGUUCCUCUAGAUCCCCCAAAAGAACCCCAUUACCCAGAAGCCUUGGCUUUGAACACCUCUCCCACAUUAAAGAUGAGUCAACCUCCAGUGCUGGCUCCUGUCAGGCAAAGGUUCUGCAACGGAAGCCUUUUCUUCUUCCUCUUCUUCCACAUCUCCCUGAGUGUUUGAGAGCAGCACCACGGAGCCACAGUUUCCUCACAGUGUCGGCUCUCAGGCAGCUCUGGCACUGUGACAGCCAGAAGAAACAGUGAGUGCCACAAUUGACAUAUUCCCCAUCCUUUUGGCAUGUCAUCUCCCUUUUUCUGGACACCUGAUUGAUUCUGACAGCCUAUAUUGGGUAUUUCAUAUGAAAGAGAAUUUGGCGAUUAAAUCUUAAUGAGUUGGAAUUUCUCUCAGUGCUUUUAUUACAGGCCGCCAGUUUUGAACAUUUUUCAAAGCAACACACCCAAAUUCCACUGUUUGCAAUGAAUUAAUAAUACAGUCUUGUCACUGAAGUAUCAUGCAUUCUUUAAUCAGGCUUUUGGGGUCUGAAGCAGAAGCUUCUUGAAAGGUAUUUCUUUAUGAUCAGAACAAUUACAAACUUAGCAGCAAUCACAAAGGGGAUACUCAUAAAGUCAUGCAUACACAUACAGAAAAUGUGUGCGAGUGUGUCAGGCACAAAACAAAACCCUCCGGGCAAACUUUCUUGCCGCCUGUAUCUGAAUUAUACGUCUUGACUGGCUCACAUCAGUUAUGACUUGGGACUUGAGAAGAGGCUGAGGCCAAAGGCUGUGUGAACUGCGAGCACAAAAGAACAGAAGCAGCCGACACGUCUCUUCUUCUGUGUUCUUAAGAUCUCGCCAAGUUGUGGAAUAAACAUCCCCAAGUUUAGCUCUCGACCCCAGACCUCAUACCCCUCCUUUCUACAGCCAGUCUACAUCUCACGUCAGAGUCUUUGGGGAGAACUUCAUAUUUUGUUUCAAGGCCUUUGCAAAGGCACAAAGUGGUUGACCAUGCAUUGGCUGUUAAUGACGCUUUCUCUGCUUUUGGCAGUAAAUGUAAUAUAAAUAUGUUUUACUUUAUUAUCACCUACUUAUCAUCUACCUGUCUUUGAUACUUGAUUCUGAUUGGUCAAAACAGUAGCAGUUAAUUCUGAAUAGGAUCGGUGAAGCCUCGUCAUGACACACUUCAUGUCAAACCCAGCACAUUACAAAUGUUAUGAUUUCACCUCAGCCCGUUGACAAUGUGCUAGUGUGAACAAUAUGGAGGAUUGUUUAAUAUUACUCUCUGUUACUUUGGAGAUUACACUCUAGAUUGGUUAUUGGCCGGCCUAUACCAGCACAGAAGAGAUAAUAGGACUGUACGGAAACUAACAAGAGAGGUUAAAAAAACAAGCUGAGGGACAAAGUCACAAAACAGACAUGAAGCAGUCAAAAACCACAAGGUGGACAAGAUCCCUCCACUGUGUUGGGGUCUUGUCUCACCUUGUUGGUAUUCUGUUUCAUGUAGCCACCCACUCACUAUCCAUCAGCCCUUAAUUUGAUAAUCAUUUCUAAUAUGUUAUUGUUGGUUAAAGCUGUUUGCUGCUGAGUGGAGAUAACCAUAGAUGACACUAAAUUUUGGCUUUAAGAACAGUAAAGAUUUAAGGCUGCUUGAUAAUUUUAGCAUCUCAGCACGUCGAUUCCUGUCACCUCACCACGUGAGAAUUAUUUAUCUGCUGUUGAACUUGAUCCUACAAAACAUGCAGACUGACAGUUUGAGGGUCUGUUUCCAUACUGAAUGAAGUGUCAGAGAUGGUGCGCUUUUAAUUGCUUCAGUUAUUUAGACGUGUCGCAUUUUUCUCCUUGUAAGCUGACUAAAACUGAUAGUAAGCUUCUAAGGGUAAAAGGUCAACAUCAGUGUUGUGGGAUUGACAAUAUAAAAAGCAGCAGAGCCUCCGUAAACAAAUUCGUGACUUAAAAAUCAGCGGGCCAUUGGCAGACUAGUGUUACAUCUUUAUCCAGAGAUCUGUGUAACUGUAUUUUCAACACUGAUUUGUCAGGAAUUUGUGAUGGUAAAUCUUUACACCUCCGAAAAUCAACCCUCCAUAUCUGCUCACAUUGAAGACAAAAUGCAAAUUUGUGUAGGUAGUUUGUUCGGUCUCCUUUGUGUCGGUGUUGACAUGUUUAUCAUGUCUGCGUUUGGCUCCUACCUGGGAACCUCUGUGGCUUCUGUACCACUGCCAGCAAGAGAGACGAGGAGAUGGGACUGUUUUUAUUUCAUCAUCUCAAAUCAUGAUACUGCCUGCAUCACCCACAAUCCUCUCUUUAUCACUUUAACACCCUCUCUGCAUCUCUGUGUGUGUAUGUGCACUGACAUAGUAAUAAAGGGAGAAAAAGAACCAGGUAAAGCAGAAAAAAGAGAGUACUCAGCAAAAUGUCUGAAACGUACUCGCCAUCAAAUGCAGGAAUCACAGCAGGGGCUGUUAUUCUCUGAAAACUGUGUGUUGAAAUUCUCUGGCUGUCUCAUAUGUGUGUAAGUGAGCGCUGACUUUCCCUCGCAGGGCAGAGCAAAAGACUAUGACACCGGGGUUUGGUUUUUGUCUAAAAAGAGAAAGGCCUUUAUGGAAGGAUUGACUUUUCUGUCUCUUUGGAGUUUGCUUUUAAGAGUCUCUUGUGUUCUUCUUUACAAAGUACAAGCUCUGCUGAAAACAGCCCUGUGCGCUCCUUAUGUUCCCGAGCAGAAGAUAGAACAGUUGGUGCCCCUCAAUAAGUUAUACCCUCACCAUCAUCAUCAUCAUCAUCAUCACCCCAACUCAGGAACACGCAACAGUCUGGAAGAAUUUCAGGUAAAAAGGCCUGGCCUAAUUAGUUCCCAUCAAAAAUGUAAUUCUUUUUCUCUGAAUUAUGCCGCAAGGGUUGAGUAGCCAAAAGCGAAGAUACCUGGUGGAUGAAAAAAAAAAAUAAUGAAUGAAAAAAGAUAUUCUAACCUCGAGCCAUAAGUACAUUUAUAUGCUUGACAUGACUCGGCCAUCAAUGUUGGGUCGAAUUCUAAUUUAAUUUCUGAGAUGUAUGUGUAAUUUUGCCAUUAAUAUGAAUGUUAGCACCCUAAAUAUUUUACACUUCUCAUGGAUAUUGUGAGUGUCUCAUAUAUCCUUCAAGAGUGUAUUAAUUAAUAAACUCCUUUCUGAUACUUUUUUUGUGCAGGAAACUUGUAAUAGGAGCAUGCAGGUAGGAUGAUGUAGAGAGAGCAGCCAGAACAGAGUUGUCUGGUGCCUCAUUAACAUCCCCAGUUCAUUAGGAGGAGGCUUUUUUCUUGUCAUCUUUUUACAACGUGCCAAUGUUGUGUGGCCUUUAAGCUAAUUAAUAAUUAAUUAAUUAACCAAAUUAAUUCCUAGGUUAGAGAUGUUGUUCAGUAGUGAGGCCAGUCGGUUUGGAUUUGGGCCCCGAUGGGUGAGGCCCUUUACAAGCUGAUGUUGUUCAUGUUUCUGACAGUGCCAGCCCCCCGUCUAAAAGCCCUAGCAAGUGCCAUUUGUCUCCGGGUUAACAGAAAGACGAGAUAUAGGGCGGGCUGAAUAAUUUAAGCUCCCACAACACAUGCACUUUUGCUUUUCAAGCAUGAGUUAUAAUUUAAUUAGAAACUUCUGGUGCGUUGCUGGCUAUUUAAAUAUUAAAAUCUUCCGCUGAUCACAUUGGAUUAGCCAUCCCUGUGAAAUUCCCUGAGAUGUCAGUUGUUGUCUUUCUAUCUCCCCUCUCUCUCUCUUCCCCCCACUUCUACUCUCACUCUCGCCGCUUUCUCGCAUUUCCGUCUGUGUUUUCUGAACUCGGCGCGCUCACAGAUUGUUUGUCGACUCCUCCAUUAGAGACAAUGGAGGGAGGCGUUGUGGACCUUUGGGAGCCUUAAUGGGCAUCAGUGUGCGUAAGCGUGUGAAUGGCUGACCUGAUCUGAAUGAAAAGAAAGAGGCUGUGCUCAUUAUCAGCUCUGGAUUGCAGGAUGAUUACAUUAGGAUGCUCCCCUGACGGUGGUAAAACAAGGGGUGGUAGUGGAGAUGGGUAUUAGAGGUUGACACUGGAUUCCUAUUGCCAUGUUGGGGCCUGUUGUCCAGCUGUUUUUGUCCCCUGAAUUUAAACAGUGCAACCUGUUGACUUGAGAUGAUGUGUCUUUUGCCUCUGUGUCUUAGUGGAGCCAUUUAUCUGCAAAGGCAUGGCAAGUUUAUUUACAUGGCACAUCAUUGCAAACAAGGCAUACAGAUUUUAUAAAACAUUAGGGCCUGUGCCUAGCGACUUUUCUUUUUUUUUUCUUCUUUUUUGCACCAGCAGCACCCAUGUCUCAUGUAAAACUAAUGCAGUUCAGCAUUGUCACUGCUUAAUGUCUUGAGAAAAAUGCUCUCAGUGCCAGUUUUGUUGUUGUUCUUACACUGUCUAGGUUAAAAAUAGUUAAGUGCUUGGAGCUGGGUGUCCUUAGCAGUGUCACCUCUUCUUAAGGGAACAGUUUCUAGGAACAAGUUAUUUCCUUUUUAUUUUUUCAUUUUCUCCACAAAAUUUUAUAAAACCCAUGAAAGAGGAUUAGGGCCACAAGAAGAAAAAAAUAAUAAUUACAGGAGAAAACUUAAAAUUUCCAUUUUGAGAUUAAAGUUGAAAUUCACAAAAGUCGAGAUGAAAUGCCGUGUGGCUUAAAUUUGUUGCAGCCAUCAAUGUGCCCAAGCACAUUGGGUCCUCAGCUUCAGUAAUGCCUGCGUCUAGGACGCAGGGCUCGUCUGUGCUCCACGCCUUCAGGAUCAAUCAACUUGAUCAGUUGUCUCAUUUUAUCUUGCGAUACAACAUCGCUUCACUGGUGUGACCAUCAAUAACCCUGCAUCUGCAUCACAAUCUUCUUCGGUACAGUCUUUUCAUUACCUUUAAUCUCAACAUUAUGAAUUUAUUCAUGAAAUUUUGUCUUUAAUUGCGUCGACUUUAAUCUCGAAAUUUCGGCUUUAAUCUUGAAAUUUUGACUUCAAUCUUGUUUCCGUAAUUAUUUUCUUUCUCUUCAUGUGGCCCAAAUCUUCUUUCGUAAUAACUACAUAUGAAGCUUACAGAGAAAUGUAAAACAGCCUUGAUGGUUACUGCUAAGAGAAGCAGACAUACCAUCAGACUACUUUCAUAACACAGCAGGAGAAAGUGCCCUAAAAAGCACUAUGAAACUGUGGUUGUGGGCUCCAGCCCUGAAAAGGCAGUAAGUGUACACAGGCCCUUGUCCAAAACUAAGCUGAUAACACAAAUGACACUAAAACCCGACACCAUUACAUUUCAGCAGGAGAAACUUUACCUAAAAAUAAUCAAAGAAUAAUUGUGUUUAUCACAACUACUGUAUCUUUGGCUUGAGACUGUGUGAAAGAGUUAGGAGUGGCAGGAUUUAUUUUCACAUCAGCAUGUGAAGUUUAAUGGAAAAGGAUAAAAGAUGGACAAAGCUAGAGAAAUGUUCCAAAAAGUAAAACUAAUAGGCUGAAAAAGUAAAAUGGAUUUAUCUGAGUAUUCUUGAACACAACAGUAAAGUAUUAUCCAAUACGCUUGAGUACAUGUAUGUAGCUCCAGUAUGCUAUAAGACAAAAGCACAGCUAAACUAAAGUACAGGGGAAUCAACUUGAUCCCCUUUUGGCUCCACAACUGAUGCUUGUUAAUAGGAUCUGAUCGAUGCAGACACUAUCAGCAUGUAGAGUCUAUGCAAAGCCUCACUAUUCAGUUUAUGUGUGAGUUAUGGGUGACAGGUUGCUCAGUCAUCUCCCCAGUCAACCCUGUGACACACACACUCUAUCACCAGUGGCAAAGAUGUACUAGUGAUUCCUAGCUCUGGGCCAACUAUCUAAUUAUAAACCAGCAUCUACUUUAAUCUUCUGCUUCAGACUGUUAUUGAAGCUACAUGUGAGCUGGAGCCCUGCUUUCCUGCUGCCGAAACAUAAAAACCUUAGCUGCCUUUGAUUCAGGAAAAGCUCUCACGUACCUUACUUUUGCUUCCUCACUGUUUGCCUGUGUGUGUUUAUGUCUCCCUGUGUAUUCCUACCUGUCAUUUUGUGCAUCUGAACAGGUGUAUUUGUCUGCUCACAGUGGGUGAAUACAGUGCUCUGUUUCUCCAAACUCUGGGAGGGGCCCUGGCAGUAGCGCUGCGAUUGUGUGUCAAUCAGGCAGCGCUGCAGACGGCCUCUCAGGCCCCCCAUAGUGUGGGGUCCUGUUCUUCUUCUGUCUCAUGCUGUCAUUCAGAAUCCUUUUCAUCUCUGCCUCUGUUCCUCCCCAAAUCCCUCAAUCAGGACCAUCAGUCAUUCUCUGAGAAACAUUUUGAGCAUAAAUCUCCUUUAUGAACAGCUACUUUGAAAUUGAAAUAUUUACUACAAAUCAAGCAUGUUUUCAUAUAUCAGGUUAAAUAUCCUCCCUACUGCUAACAUCACCUCACCUCCUACAGGUGCUUACACUUUGAGCUCUGUUUUGAGCUCAUGCCUUUUUUUUAUAUUUUUUCACAUCCUGAUUUCACUGUACAAUAAUGAAUCCAGAAUUCCACAGCUAACCCAAGUAAAAUUCUCAGUUCAUAUAAACAAACCAGCCAUUAAGACUGAUGCUCUGGUAACAACAUAACCCACCUGUAAUGUAAUGACAACUACAUAAUGACAAUAGAAAAUUAAGACAAAGUUGAAUUUUCCUUUUGACUCACCUGUUAAUAAGUUAAAUCGUAAUUGCAAGUUUUGGCCUCUUUAGUUGUUGUACAUGUUAGUUUAUCAACAAAUAAGUUAAUAAAAAGUUAAAAGUGUCUGGUGUCUCAUGUACAUGGCCCACCUGUAAUGUACUGAUAUGUAAUUUUUUUCACAAUUACGCUUCACUUCACUGCACUCUUCAUUACUGCACUAUCGCACUACUGUCUUGUACUUGUAAGUUAAAUGUCGACUUUGAUUUGUACAUAAUUUGUGAUUUCUGUAAUUUUUCUGAUUAUUUUAAUUAUUCCUAACUUUUGUCAUUUUUCUUGACUUUUGUAAUAUUUCAUGUUUACUGUUAGUACAUGAUGGGCAAAGUUUACCGAAGUCAAAUUCCUUGUAUGUGUACACAUACUCGGCCAAUAAAGCUGAUUCUGGAAACUUGAAAAACUAUUUGGCAAAUUUGGAAAACCCUACCAUAGACUUUUAUGUCUUCAUGCAAAGAACAAUGCACAGUGAAAAAAAAAAAAAAAAAAAAGCGGUGAUAAAUGUAAACCAGAAUCCUGAAGGGGUAAGACAAGAACAAAAUAUACACGUUUAGCCAACGGAUUUAGCAUGUGUCAGGACUAACAACUCUUCCACAUAUUGAUUUUUUUUAUUAUGUGUUUGAUCUGAUUGUAUCCAACGUUGCUCUUAUUAUUCAGAAUUAAUCACCAUUGUCAAGGGGAUUAACAAUGGUCAUGGCCAAUCAGAAUCAAGUAUUUAAAUAUAAAGUUAAACUAAUUACAGUGAUUUUAAUAGUAUUGAGACACACUAGUGUGCUUGCGCAAUAUACAGUAUAUCUAGCUCUCCUUGCAUAGUGUGUAUACAGUAGUAAACUGUAGCCAAAGCUUGAGAAUUUUUUAUGAAGUAUCAGUCAAAUGUUUAUGUGCUGCACUGAUGAUAACUUUAUGUUUGCUUUUCCAGAACUUCUCUUUUGAUGUAAAAGGUCAGAAAGUUGAAGCUAAUAGUGUUGGAAAUGUCUAGGCACUUGGUUCUCUCAGGAAGCGGCUGCAGUGCAGAUCUGUCACUGAAUCAACUCUGAUUCAAGACAAGCUGUGAGCAACAGAUUUUCUUUAUCUCAUUCAGGUUAGAGUUUUUGGCACAUUCUUAUUUUCUGUUUGACCCUUACAGUGACUUCAGUUUGCCUUUUAAUGCCUCUUGUAAUACCCAAGAGGCCAGUAUGAUACAACUUGUAGGUUACAAAUAAAUUUCUCCUUUUAUAUAAGAGUGGUAAAAGGUUAGAAAAAUAAUUCAGAAGGAAAUAUGCUUGUAUUUGAGAUACAUCUAUUGCAAUAAUUAAAGAGUCCAGCUCUCUCUGUUCAGCCUUUUCUCUCUGCAGACUUCUCCAGAUGUUGUUUGACUUUUAUUUGCUUUAAUUUUUCAUCAGUUUGCACAGCUGUAAGGGUUGAAUUCACCAUACACAUGAAUAAAAAUAUACCCCUGUAAACAUUAUUGUGUUUAGUGAUAUCUCUUGGUUGCCCCUGAGAAAUGCUGGCUAAUCAGAGACAAAGAGAGAUGAAGGAGGACCAUAAAACGCGAUACUCUCCAGAUGCUCACACUGUCUGAUACUGUAGUAUCAUAAAGAUGGGAAGAGGGGGUCAGAGAGAGGUAAAGGUUCAUAUUUUUAAAAGGCUGAUUGCAUGAAUGUCUUGGGAUUUCUCUUUUUUUUUUUCAAUUUUGAAGAAGCACUCAGAGACUAAUUCAGUUCAUCUGGCUCAAAAGUACUCAGCAGCUCUUUGCUCUUAAACUUACUCCUACCUUCCCCAGAUUGUAUCUUUGGACCUUUACACCAUGAAUUCUGUCAUAUCUGUUGAUAAACUAACUUGUACAAAAAAUAAAGAGGCCAAGAAAGGCCAUAGUUGCAAUUACUAUUUAACUUUAAAUGUGAGUUAAAAGAAACAUUCAACUUUGUAUUAACUUUAUAUGAGGUGUUGGACCACUGCAACUGCAUUUCUGGUGUCUUUGAUCACUUUGUGUCCAUAGCAUAGAUAUACACUCACCGGCCACUUUAUUAGGUACACCUGUCCAACUGCUCGUUAACACUUAAUUUCUAAUCAGCCAAUCACAUGGUGGCAACUUAGUGCAUUUAGGCAUGUAGACAUGGUCAAGACAAUCUCCUGCAGUUCAAACCGAGCAUCAGUAUGGGGAAGAGAGGUGAUUUGAGUGACUUUGAACGUGGUAUGGUUGUUGGUGCCAGAAGGGCUGGUCUGAGUAUUUCAGAAACUGCUGAUCUACUGGGAUUUUCACGCACAACCAUCUCUAGGGUUUACAGAGAAUGGUCCGAAAAAGAAAAAAUAUCCAGUGAGCGGCAGUUCUGUGGGCGGAAAUGCCUUGUUGAUGCCAGAGGUCAGAGGAGAAUGGCCAGACUGGUUCGAGCUGAUAGAAAGGCAACAGUGACUCAAAUAACCACCCGUUACUACCAAGGUAGGCAGAAGAGCAUCUCUGAACGCACAGUACGUCGAACUUUGAGGCAGAUGGGCUACAGCAGCAGAAGACCACGCCGGGUGCCACUCCUUUCAGCUAAGAACAGGAAACUGAGGCUACAAUUUGCACAAGCUCAUCAAAAUUGGACAAUAGAAGAUUGGAAAAACGUUGCCUGGUCUGAUGAGUGUCGAUUUCUGCUGCGACAUUCGGAUGGUAGGGUCAGAAUUUGGCGUCAACAACAUGAAAGCAUGGGUCCAUCCUGCCUUCUAUCAACGGUUCAGGCUGGUGGUGGUGGUGUCGUGGUGUGGGGAAUAUUUUCUUGGCCCUCUUUGGGCCCCUUGGUACCAAUUGAGCAUCGUUGCAACGCCACAGCCUACCUGAGUAUUGUUGCUGACCAUGUCCAUCCCUUUAUGACCACAAUGUACCCAACUUCUGAUGGCUACUUUCAGCAGGAUAAUGCGCCAUGUCAUAAAACUGGAAUCAUCUCAGACUGGUUUCUUGAACAUGACAAUGAGUUCACUGUACUCAAAUGGCCUCCACAGUCACCAGAUCUCAAUCCAAUAGAGCAUCUUUGGGAUGUGGUGGAACGGGAGAUUCGCAUCAUGGAUGUGCAGCCGACAAAUCUGCGGCAACUGUGUGAUGCCAUCAUGUCAAUAUGGACCAAGCUCUCUGAGGAAUGCUUCCAGCACCUUGUUGAAUCUAUGCCACGAAGAAUUGAGGCAGUUCUGAAGGCAAAAGGGGGUCCAACCCGUUACUAGCAUGGUGUACCUAAUAAAGUGGCCGGUGAGUGUAAAACACAAUUAACUAAUCUGUCCACUUAAAAUGGUGCUGUGAUCCACCUGUUUCUACCUUGGAGGUACUGUUCGAUACAAAGACAAUAAAGUGUAGUUUGUUCCUACGAAGUUUAUAAGAGUUAAGUGUUAAGCAGCAAGCAUAGACUGUGACUUUAUGAUUUUGUUGAGAGAUAAAAUUACAUUUGAGUAGUUAUUAUCAUUGAUUUUUAAAUCUGACUGUUUUCUGUCGCCCUUGUUAGUCAUGACUAAAGUUUUUAUCUUAUAAUUAUAUCAUUUCAUGGAAUGAGGCCAAUGAAACUGUUUUUUUCAAUGAUUAACUGCCUUUUGUCCUUGAGAUUUUUUUUUCUCUUCUGCCUCUUUUUGUUUGCUUCAAUGAAAAUGUUUUGAGUCAGUGUUGUAUCAUUGUAAUAAGCACAUAGAACAAUAACCCAGCCUUUGACUGUCUUAAGGUAAUAAUAGAGCAUCACAAUCAGUAAAUAACAUUAAAAAAUAAAAAUAAUUGUGACUGCAGCCCUUCUUAGCUACUGCAGCAACCGUAGAAACACUUUCAGUCUUGCGAGUCUGUAUUGUCUUUCCCUCGUAAGUGAGCUCAUCUACUCCCAAAUUUUCAGUCCAGCUCUGUCAAAGAAAAGUCAAAGGCUUUUUCUUGGCCAGAGGACUAUCAUAUGACUCCGACGAUUAAUACAAAGGCGAAUGGUGGACUUUAAUAAUUAACUCUGCGUUACAUUUGAAGAAUGCUCACCAGGCGUGAGAUUUAAAAGAAGCUAAUGUUUCACUAUCAAACCAUUUCACCCAAUCUUCAGAACAGAUGUGUGUGCAGAGGAGGACAUUAGUUUCCACAGCAGGCGCUGAAAAUAUGCCUGCGUUCCCCUCAUCAGCACAGAAGUCAUGGUUUGUCUUGAGGGGCCAAGUGUCUCCUUGUGACUGGCCAUUGGUUUUAAGUGGCUUGUGCAUUUUUCAUGGGACAGUGGUCGCUGGGAAUGUCUUGUCACUCUAUUAAGGCCUAUUCAAAUGGUAGCGGCCAUAAAACGAAGCAGGCACUGAAAUAUUCAUUUGAUAUUGCAACACACCGCAGUGUGUGUGUUAAUUAAGGAAAGAGCUAUAUGCUUGAGAUGGGACAGGGCUCUCAGUGUGCCAGAAUGCUGGAAGAUGAGUUUAAUCAAAGUGACACUUGGGCUUCCCGGCUCCAGGCUGGUGUCAAUAUGUACAUCUUAUUUUAAAGAGUGCUAGUGUGUUCAUAAAACAGAGACUAAACGCUGAACUAACAACACGCAAAAGCACUCUUUGACAUUUCCUUUUUUUUUUACAUCAGUGUAUCAUUCAUGCAUUACUUUCAUGUGUACAUUAGCCGUGUGUUGUUUAGCAUUAUAUUUGACCUCUAAGGCGCAACAUAAAAGCAGGUAGCAGCUGUGAACCGUUGUGGCGGGGUGAAGUCCAUUAAGAAAAAGAGAAGUCUUUUUUUAACAAGCUGUUCUGGCCAUUUGACAGGGAAAAACCUUAUAUUUGGACAAACACUCAGAUGUUAACUAUCUGGCAUGUACUUAAGGGUUAACUGUGUCCUGAAGGCUACACCCUGAAGGGAACAGGUGUUUGCAGCUAUUCACUGGUGGUUCUACUGCUUGUUAUUUACCAUGAUUGGAUCUAUAUUUCUAAAAUUUCAGCUAUGAGGUAGCCAAUUUGAUGAAGACUGCACGCUUACAGCAGCAGGGUGUAUGUUUCCCUCCUCUUAAUAUUUUGGACUUCCUGUGUUGUUUGUACCCAGUGAAAGAAAGUUGAUUAUUUUUCAUUCGAUUCAGGUGAUCUAUUAUAAUUUAUUUUUAAUUUCUUGUCUAAUUCUAGCUGCAAGAUUGUGCAGCCUCACAUUUGAAAUGAUCAAAAUGCAAACCCUCAUAUCAGACACAAAGCUUAAGGAUUACAAGGCUAUUUCUGUUUGUAUAAAACCAACUGAAUAACACAGUGUAAGUGUCAUCCCUCUCCUCUCUCUUCCUUCUUUUGGCUUCUUUAUUACCGCUUCACCGUUCCUCGUCUCUCUGUAGGACAGGCCAGCGAUAAUAUACCCUAUCCUCCAUCUUAGAGCUUAUUAACCUUUUUGUUGGAAUAUCUGGAGCAUAAAGACCUCAUUAAAUAUUUACAUAUGCACUAAGCAGUAUGAAAAAUUAAGAAACCCAAAGUUUUAUUAACCUGUAGUAAUAUAAUGUCUACUCUUGGCCAACAAAAAAAGGGUCUUUUUUGCACAUUAAAGCAUUCUGUAGUGCAUAAUAAUGUAUGAUAAGAAGGCUCCCCUUGCAUUGAUUAACUCUGCUUUAAUAUAACAUUAGGUUUCCCUAAACUAGCUUUAUCAUAGAAUUAUGCUUUUAAUACAAGGUGUGGGGAUGAGGGCAGAGGAGGGAGCUGUUUAGCCUGCAGAAAUAAAACAUUGCGACAAUCCUUAAUUAUCCAUGGUUGUGUGUGUGUGUGUGUGUGUGUGUUGUGACAUACGUGAGGACUUCUGAGAAACUCAUACGCUCACUAUUCAUGAAUAUAUUAGAAGGCGCAGCAUAAAUAUCUGUCCCUGCUAGCCAUGCUGACCUCGUCCCUCCAUAGGUGUAGUUGAUCCACAACACUCAGCCAUUCAAAUGGGACUAAGUGGCUUUCAAUUAUUCAAACAUAUAUUCAAGAAAGGCCGUGUAUUGCUCCCUAUCACCUGCUCCUGACUUUCUACUCCUCUGCCACGCUGCUCAGAGCUGAGACUGAGCUGGCUGAAAUGUUCAGAUUUUACCAUCAGCUGUGUAGACAGAGGAUGAGGCACAAAUAUCUCUGUCACUGCUGUCCUCACAGACCCUUUCGGUCCUCUAAAUGUUUCCUCUGUUCUCUGAUAGGGACUCAAACGGGCAGGUUCCCAGAGAGCCAGCGCUUUGAUUCUGUCAGUGCUGCAUGCAGAGCAGACCAUGCUUCAUAGCUGCACACCUGCAGGCAUUUACACCUGUAUGUCACCAGUGCAGGGCAGAAGAUGAUGUGAUGGUAAGGGUUUUAAAGUGGGAGCAGGAUCCAGGAGGCCUUUUGUAUGGUCAUGUCUUAGACGUAUGGGCCAAUAACCUCUACAUAUAUUUAUGUGACAUUUUAUGGGUUUCAGUUUUUUUAAAAAACAAGAAUUGACAUUAAAAACUUUGCAUUAACGACUCAAACAAACAGGACCAUCUGGGAUUAUACAUAUUAUUUCUAUAUAGUUAUUGUAAUACACUGGUAUUUGACAAAGUGGGUAAUACUGCAAUAAGACUCUUUAACUCAUCCACCCCUGUUAGAGCCACAGUCACUUACAUGGACUAGCCUGCCAUUCCUACAUUGUUGUUAUAAAUACGGGUACACAUGCUUAGGUUGUAAUUAAGUUAUAUUAAGCACAUAUUAGUAUCAUACAAUAUUUUUAUCACUUUUGCACAUUUCUCCUUUGCACAUCUACACUUACAGAUUCUUUCAUCUGAGCACAUACUAUUUAAGUACUCAUAUUCAUUCAUUAUCUUGUAUAGUCUUGUAUAUUUUAUCUAUUUUUUGUAUUUCUCUUGUAUUGCUUGUAUCGGCUACUAUAACAACCGAAUUUCCCCUCGGGGAUUAAUAAAGUUCUCUAUCUAUCUAUCUAUCUAUCUAUAUCAUAUUCAGUCCAAGUGCUUUUAUUUAUUCGUUCGUCAGAUAAAAAAACACUUCAAGCAAUCUGAAACUCGAAAAAUCUGAACAAUGUGGAAAGUUUUUCAUAUGUUUUCUAUGGAUUAGAUUAAAAAAUGAAAUAUUUCAAGCCUUUUUUUGUUUGAAUUUAGAUGGUUUUGGCUUACUGCUUGUAAAAACCAGAAAUUGAAAUAUUUCUAAGAUCGAUUGAAAAAAGGUUUAAAAAACUGAAAUGUCAGACUGCUGACGUUUAUCUAAACACUCAUUUCUUGGUUGGCACUUUUUUAUGACCAAUCAGUUCAUUUAUGGGCUUUAGGGCUCAAUUAGCCUUCAGCUCUGCUGAGGCAUUACUGCUUUAUAGUGGCUGUCAACUAGUCUAUUGUUUUGAGUGUAUAGUAUCUCUCACCUUCCUCUUGACAAAUAUCCCAUAAUUUUCUAUGGUCAACUAAUCAUUUAUUAGUAAUUUUGGCGCCAUGGACAGGUGCUGUGUCUGCUUACUGGAAAAGGGAAUUGGCAUCUACACCAAGCUUGACAGUAGAUGCAAGAACAAAGCACUGUAAUAUCUCCUGAGUGAAAAAAAAAACAUUGUGGACCAACAACAGCAGAUGACAUGGCACCUUGAAUCAACACAGACCAUGGAAACUCCACGCUGUACAUCUAAUGCUGCGUUUGAGUUACCUCGAAAAUUGCCAGCGUUUCAGUUACCAUAUUCAGUCAGUUAUCUUGUCCAAUAUAACAAAAACAAGGCAAGCACUAAAAUAACUUUAUAAGAUGUAGCCAUCUUGUUUUCGCCUCCAAUUUUGCGUUUUUCCGACUUGGUAACUGAAACGCUGGUAUCUCGGGUGUGACGUCAUUUUCAGCUCCGACAUCUGACUUCCGAGGAAACUCGAACGCAGCAGAAGACCUUGGGGUAUCAGGAGUGUGACAGCUGUAGCCUCCUCUGUGCAUGAAGCCUCUCCAUUCAUUGACAUCAGCCUCAGUCCAUUCUUUGUCCACUCCCUUGAAUCAGUUUUUCUUGAGACUCCCCUCACAGCUGCUGUAAUUCCUUGUUACUUGUGCACCUUUUCCUUCUAUACUUUCUGCUCACAGUCAACUUUCCAUCGCUAUGCUUUGGUUUGGCACUCUGGCUCUGUGGCUCUGUGUAGUUUGUUCAUGAUCAUCUUUUUUAAAUUAUCAAUUAUCAAUGAUGAAGGAUGACUGUCUGAAGUGGAGGAAGCAACGGGAGCAGGAGCGCGAUGCAACAGUACACUCGCUGAGCGUUACACCAUGCAGGCGAAGGUGUUUUGUCAUGUUUGUCAUGCAUCCUCCUUUGGCAGAAUUUUUUUCGCAGAUGUUGUUCUGUGAUACUCCAUCUUUUAAAAUUAAAAUGAAGCCAGACUGUCAAGCGUUUUUUGCGGUCCAUGCUCAGACGAGUGAUGUUCUUGCAAGUGGACGCACAGAGAACGCCGAGCGGUGUGAUACACGCCUGGAAAACAAACUGGUGUGGGCAUUCAGAACCAAGAAAGAAUCGAAAUUCAAAAGUCAUCGUAAUGGUUCUGGGGCCGGACAUUAGGAACCAGUUCUCAGUACUGAACCCUACCUAUGAUUGUGGGAGCAUGUUAUGGGUUGGGUGCCAACACAGCUUUGUUAUAAAGCUGUUAAAUCACAGUGGAGCAGAACAUAUGUGCCAUUUUUGCUUUAGUCAGAACAGUGUUCAGGACUUUUGUCCCAUAAUAACACAAUUCUGAUAACCUGCAAUAGAAAUGAGUUGAACAGCUAAACUAAGAGAGCCUCAUAGUUGUUGGUCUGUUUGAAAUAAAUAAGUAUUUAUACCAAGGACAGUGCCAAAAAUAAGGUGAUAGAAUGCCAGCAACAGUAUUGGAUCACUCCAAAGUAAGAAUUUCAUUUCCCUUCAGCUUGAAAAUUACUCAAGAAGAAAAGACAAAGUUAGAAUUACCACACAUGAUGAAAAGCUUGGAAAAUUAAUCUGAGAUAAUAUAAAAAGUUGGAGAUGAGAGGUGACUGACAGCACUAGGUUUUUAGUUUUUAAACUUUAAUACCUCUAGUGAGUGCUGCAGUAAAGUACAGUGUGGUCUGUGAGCAGCGGUAAUAGAGUGAAGUCCUAUUCAAGCAGUCAGGCAGAGGGGUAAGAGAUGAGGGGAGGCUGGUGGUGGAGGGGGGAUAGGGAGCAUUGUAGAAGUAACAGAGAGAAAAGGCAAGGAGUACAUAGUCUUGAGUGAGACAGAGAGCAAGUUCAGGAGUGUGGAUAGUUAGAUAGCGAGAGAAACAAGAAGGUUAUCUAUGAUUUAACGCCUGUGGGGCCCUGAGAUGAGCCUUGCCUGUUCAAGCUGCUGUGAUUGCUGCUUGCUGCUGCUUCAGACUGAGGCCUUUCAGCUCAUUUCAUCAUGGAGCUCCUAAUGAGGCCCGGGCCGACUCCCUGGGCAUGGGGGCUGCAGACACACCUCCGAUGAAGGGGUACUGAGGGGCUCCAGAUUCUACCAACAACACCAUCAGGUCCUUGGCCUCUGAAGGGGGGGAGCAUGAGGAGGGAAAGUGGUGGUGUAGGUGGUGGUGGUGGUGAGUGUUGCUCCAGGGUGAGCUUGGAGACCCACUUUGUCCCGAGGCUGUGUGAAAAGGUCACUGCCUGUGAGGAGUACCCACAGGCCCCCGCUGCAGGGUGUCUGCAGGGAGAGUUGUUUUUGUUCAAACAGGAAGUGGCAGGUUAAGAGGAGCGUGUCCAUCAAAAAUAUGUCUGCUGUAUGCUCACAUGGAAGUGGGAGCUUUUGUUUUAUUGUUUGUUCCAGUGUACUCUGUAAGCACAGUUUGCCACUUGCCAUGUGUCAAAGCCUCCUUUGUUCGGGGUUUGACUAAUGAGCAAAUAGAUGUAUAAAGUGAGAAAUAAAAAGUGCAUUAAUGCCACAUCACGCAGAUUCAGAAUUGGCCACUUGAAGCAGGAUCCACAAUCAAGUCAGUACCCCCUUUGCCCCAUAUUGGGACACCCAACUCUGAGGGUCCUUUCACACCGGGACCGUUUUAUUGUGCGAUUAUUUCAGACGUCAAUAUUUUUUUCCGAACCUGUAUCCUGUCAGUACAAAUGUUCACAUCAGCGACGUUAUUCCGUCCUGUGAUAUUGCGGCAUUUAUUUUUUUCGGAUCACGGUCGAUUUUUCUAAAUUUUUGCAUACUGUGUGUCCACUUCUGACCAAUCAGAUCACGUGUUGUUGCAACGUCUGAUUCACCGGUAUAUCCAACAUGGCCGAUCGGCUACUUGUUUAUGUGUCAGAGAACAGAGUGCUUUUUGAUUAAAAAAAAACACAAAUAUUACAAAGAUAACGACCUGAAGGACGACUUGUGGAGAGUCAUAGUGUCGGAUCUCUCCUAUGACGAUGGUUUGUGUGCUUUAACAGUUUGCUAAAUGUCUUUGUUUAAACUUUCAUCUGUGCUAAGUAACUUUAGCUCAUAAGCUAACCUGUUCAGAUACAACAUACCAUAUGUAUUUUCACUGUCUCAAACUCAAUCGCGUUGCUGUCACAGCGCCAUUAGGUCUCAGUUGUUACCUUACGUUUAUGGAUUAUAGUUUAAUGUGCUUAUCUGGUACUGGCCCCGACUCAGUACAUGCUAUCAUGACAGACACCCAUCUCAACACUAGCGUCUAAUCAGAACUAAAAAACAGUCAGUCUGCUGUUGUGUCAGUCUUCCCGCUUCCACCCGGGACGCGUCUUUUUCCUCCUGGAAAGUCGCAAAAUCGCAUGAUGUGUAUAGUCAGGUGCGUCUAAAUUCGCCUCAGAAUAUUUCGUAAUUUCGCAUUCUAUAUUCGCAUCAGCCCUGGUGUGUAAGGACCUUAAUUUAGUCGUACACAAAUUUGGAUGUGGUCACUUUGAGUGACAAAUCAGUGCAUUCAGCCUUGUGCUAAGUGCUAUUUUAAUUCAUUACAAUCACUUUAGUUAUCCUCUUGGUUGUGUUUGUUCUGCGUUAUAGGGAUUUUUUUCAAGAAAAUAUGGGCAGCAGUGACUCAGUGGUAGCCAACCCCCAAUUUCCGCCGCAUCUGGAACGGCUACGAAAAGGCCAUAUCUGGCGAUCGUAGCUGAUCGUAACCAUUCAAGUAAAUGUGUAAAUUUCCACUGGCUUCUGUUCUGCUGCGGAUUGCCGGACUCUGCAGCUGAUCGCGAGAGUUCUAUUUUUUCCAGACGCUGGAGCAUGCCAUAUAACCCAUGCUGGAAAGGUUUUUAGACAGCAUUACACCCCGAUGAUACCAUGGAUGAGGAGAUGCUGAUUUUAGAAGUCUAGAGGCGGAUUUCUUCCUCUGAAAGGAAACAAUUUGAUGCAUUUCUGGUUAGCCUCUGUGGUUGUCUUUAUAGAGACAACUCGUGAUCGCACGAUUGUAUAUGAAUCCGUGGGUUCUUGUGAGUUCUCGCGAUUACUGCUGUCUGUAAUCUGCCACAAAAUUCGCCUCACCAACGGAUCCGGUAGGAAUUGGCGGACGGCAAAAAUCGCUGCCGUUCCAGUUGCGGUGCAAAUUAGGGGAAUUAUUAGAAGGUUACAAAUACAUAGUACUGGGUGAUACUGAUGAGCACUCGGCAGCUUCUGGUGUCAGCGUAUGAAUAUGACAGAUAGCAGGUUGUAGGAACUGUAGUGUUGAAGGCUGGUUAUUGUAAAUAAUCUGGUCUGGUCUCUACAGGUAUAUCCACCACAAAUACAACCUCCUAUUAUUGCAUUGCCAGCUAGAGAGUAAGCCAUUGAAGUAUACUGUUUGACUUUGCCAAUUUGAUGUUAGCUAACCUCUUGUUCAUCUCCACAACCUCUUGACUGAGUGUAGUCACGUAAAAAACCAACAUUGUUGCAGCCAAAAUGCUGAACAGGCAGCUUUGAAAAGGCAGUCGGGGUCAUGGUGGUAAUGUUUGAUAUUUAUAUAGUCUUUGGAUACAUACUGAGCCAGUUGUCAGUACCUAAUUGUACCAGUUAUUUAACGUUGUACCUCAGAUCAGUCUUGAAUGUAGAGUAGUAAUAGAGAAGUGACAGCCAUACCGUAUGUGUCAGUAUGGGUGCCUCCCUAAUGACAGGCAGCUCUAGGGGAUAUGAAAGGCAUGGUGGCAGGGGGGUGGGGCAGCAGACUUGCUGGUGGAGCGACCUGUCUGUUCACCCCAGCUCUGGCCUUUGUACAGAGUUAAUGAUGCCACUAAUAUGUUCUUUAAAGACCACACUGUGAUUCAUGGCUUUCAUUAGCCCUGUGUGCCAGGGUGUCUUUCUCCCUCUCUCUCCCUCUUUCUCUUCUCUGUCGCCCUUUUAAUGAUGGCCUGGAGACGAGGUGGCACGCUUGACCCUUAAUCAUACAAGCAAGAGGAGGCUGGUGGUGAGCGAGGGGCCGUGAUUAGAUGGGAGGUUUUUGGAGAAAGGCAGGGGGUGGGAGUAAGAGGAGGAGGUAGAAAUCUAUAACAGUUGUUCGUAAUCCUGCUCUUCAGGGCUGGUUAACUUCUCUGCUCAGCACAGCAUCUCAUGUUGAGUAUUUACAGAAAGUACAUACUUAUUUAUCUUUUUUUCCCACCAUCUUCAACUUCCUGUCAGUGUGUUUUAGAAAAAUGGUUACGUUUGCCUGCAAGUCUGAUCAGAAUAUCUGCUUCAGUUUUGUUGAUGGUGUUGCAAGUGAUUUCAGUUGUCAGAUUAUACAGUAAAUAAAGCUGUCAUGUCUUACAACUUGGGUUUUUAUAGCAGAAUCUUGACUGUCGCUCCUGUUGGUAAGAGUAAUACUGUUCUGCCAACUUAACAACUUAAAAACUACCCCCAGAAAUCAUCUGAUGAGCAAAUUACAAAGAUGUUUGGUGGCUAGUUCUUUGGCUGGGACCCUAUAUGUACUAUUGAUGAAGUUAGGUGCUGUUCUGAGCAUUAUUUGUGGCUAUAGAGUGGCGUUUUCAUUGAGGUUUGUGUGUGGCUCCUCAGAUUGCUGUGUAUUGCUAUCGUGCGGUCGUUACUAAAGUUGGUAUAACUAGAGAAGCAACAUAACUAGAGUCGGCAACAUUCCUUUCGAGGGGAUGUCUAACUCAAUGUUACGGUGUGUUUGACCCUAACUUAAUUUUACGUUGGAAUAUCCCUUUAAGUGCACUUACAUGAAUACAAAACUGUUGCACCUUUAGAAACUUUCUGGGAUAACUAAAGCCUCCCAGAUGGUCAAAGUUACAAAGUUAAAGACCCAAGAUGUGUAAAAAAAACAGGAACCAUCCCUUAACAAGUGCUUUUUAAGCUUUCGGAAACUAUUACUACAGUGACAUGUUCCUAUUCAGUGGAGUAACAGACUUGGUGUAAACUGGAACAGAGGGCAACACUAACUCAGACAAACUGUUGGAGAGUGUAGGAGUGUGUAUACACACACACACAAACACAGAGGGUCUGAGUGUGUAUGUUCACAAAGGGGUAAACAUAACACCAUCUCUCACCUCCAGCAGUCUGUUGGGAGCAGAGAAAAUAAACAAUAAAUAAAUUACACACAGACACAGUGUACUUGGUCUUGCUUUGCAGAGAAUUACAGUUGUUUACAUGAGUGUUCAGGGGGUGGCAGGUAGACCCACACCAUGUCUGUGUGUAUCAUGUUGGACCGCUGACGCUAGGGAUAAUUUCAAUAAUUUACACUCUCCGUGUGAUUGUAGGAAACGCCUCGUGUGUUACUUUUUAAAAAUGUAAAGCAGGCCAUGUUAGUCUCUGCCCACCGACCACAACCUCCACACACUCACACACACACACACACACAUACACACACAUAUAUAUAUAUACAACAUGGCUCUGGACCAGACGAUUCCCCAGAUGAUAAAAAGCAGAUGUUUUCCCAACAGGGGGUAUUCUCCUAAUGCUUCUAUACCAACCAUAAAACCCCCUCUCUUCUGUCCUCCUCUCCUCCUCCUUCUUCUUUUCCUCUGGUCUCUUCCCAAGCCAUCCGUUUUUCUGCAGAAUAAAGACAGAUUAGGGUCUAAAUCCCUCCGCAAUUUGGGUCAUGGCCUUUUGUGUGCUCCAUACGGUGAGAGGAGUGGCACACAACCGGGCCCCCAUUUGCCAGAGAUCAGGGGGUUAGGCCUGCAAGUGAUUGAGGGGGAACUGCACAGUGUGACCAUGUUUGGAGAAAUAAUGAGAUUGAAUUAACAGAGAGUCUAUGGUGGAGACCUGGGUAUCACACAGAAGAGGAGAGGUGGAGGACUGCAAAGAGUAGGAAGUAGAAGGAGGUGAGGAGAUGCUAGCAGAAUGGGUGAUUUUAUACAUUUGCGGAAGCUGUGAUAGUUUACAGUCAGCAGUGGAGUUUAACAUGCACAAAAGUUACUUCCAACACUAUUCUAUCAAUCCCUCCCUUAAACCUUUUGGAUAUGAUGAAAUUGGUGAAUAUAGAUCUCCAGGCCUUUUUUGUAGAUUAAAACAACACAACAGAUGGAUUUUGUUCGCCUCAUCAUUUGAAAAUCUUAAUGUUGAGUCUGAAUUUCUAGAAAUUUUUUGGUUGUCUUCUUGUGUGUAUGUUCUUGUGGGAUUACCCAGAAGCUCCAGCUCUUGAAAUACUGUGCAAAAACAGGAAACACCACCAGAGAAAACAUCAUAUAGCUGCAACAAUCCAACCUAGCGCCUCUCUCCUUAACUCCACUUUCGUCUGUGUUACCAUCUCAUCCUGAGUUCAAAGCAGCGUGAUGUUAAUGAAGGUUCCCAUGUACAAAGAGAAGCUUAUGUAAAUGUUACCUCUCCAGAUGUUCUAUAGCUCUCAGAGCCAGAACUCCAACAAGCCCCGAGCCACAAAGAUCCAGCGAGCAUUUAGACAAACCUUUGUACCUUCACUUGCCUAUAGGGCCUAUCAGACCGUCGCUGCCUGAGAAUCAAUAUCUGCUGCUAAUGAAACUUAGCCACACAUUUUAAUGAAGGAGCCAAUUUGCAUUUAAAAGUAACAAGAGGGGAAAUGGGUUCAUUUUUCCCCAUUCCUUAUUUAGUGUGUACAUUUGAACAGAAAGCACUGAACAGGUUUGGUGUGUGGCAACAUUUGUCUGUUUGCAAAGAGGUUUAUUCAUCAGGUGCGGCAUACAUGUUGUUGCUGAAUGUUUAAAGAAACUCUGCCGCUCUUUAUACGCACACUAGAUGACAUAUUGUUGUUGAACUGUAAUAUUGAUGAUAUUUAUUGAAAAUAUUGUUUCUAAAUAUUGUGUAAAAUAUCGACUUAAAUCCUGCAUCAAGAAAAAGACACAUAAGGGAUCAUGAAGAAGAAGCGACCUAGUUUUCCACAUUAAGCAGACCAACAUUUAAUUCACCAGCCUUCUUUCUGUUUAUUGAUAUGAUUAUAGUCAGUCCACACAAGUCUGAUUAGAGUUGUCAUAGCAACAGUCAGUUCUUCAAAGCAACAGUCUGCUAUUGUUGAAAUAGCAAAAAUGAAAGCACUGCAAUGAAAUUUUUCUUUAUUAUGACCAAUUAGAAACAAACUGCCCUGACAUACUGCAUGUAUAAACAAACUAUCUACAUCUGAUUUAUAUGUAUAUUGUAUUCACAUUGUAUUGAGCCUUGUAGUUAACAAAUAUUACAGGGUUACUGAAUCAAACAUGCCUCUUGAGUUCAUAAGGCAAACUUAUUUACAAAAUAAAACUUAUUUUUAAACAGAGAAGAGAAUAAAUAAUAACAUAGUAUCAUGUAUUUUUUUUUUCCUGUGGACUGUCUGUUUUUUUAAAAAAAGUGUCUACCCACUGUACAGCUUUUUCAGCUGCAUCUAGCUGAAAACUUAGUUGAGGUGGUAAAAGUCUAGUAGAAGAAUGAGCUAACAUUAUUUGGUUCAGAAUACUCUCUAUAAGUCAAGUCAAAAUUUCAUUACAUGGUCAAAAGCCAGCACAAUCCAGUGAAAACCAUCAGUUGGAUUUUUCAGACAUUGAUAAAACCGGGUCUUCCAUUUUUUUUCUAGUGUUUGCAUUUUUGAUAAUCCUGAGGGUAUUUUAAUAAUAGAUAAAGAUUAGUAGACACUGUGCUUCAGAAUCACAUAGAUAUCAAUAAGUUGCAUUGCCUUCUAUUUUUAGCUCUAAGCUCCUGUGAGGAGAAUAGGUAGGGAACUAGAUUUAAAUAAAUACUGAUGCCUCUAUGUGGGCUAGAAAGGCAAAGAUCAUGAUUAUCACAAAGACCAAACCUAUCCUGUACUGUCACUUUUAUUGUCUGAAACUGCUGGAGCAGGGUUAGGUUCAAGGAAAGUCUCAGCGGCACACCACUAAAGCAGACUUUGUUGACAUUUACCACAGCAAAGACUCUCAAUAAGUUGUGGUGCAACAGAUCACGGCUGGUUUGUGAUCCGUUGCACCAUCCCAUGCUCAGUUCGGACCACGUGUUAUAUGGAUGAAAGCAUCUCAGAACAAAAUGAAUAACUGCAUUUUGUUGCACAUUGAAAGGUGAUAACUUGAUUCACUGAGACUUGUGAUGGGAAUUACAGCUCUUUUUAGUGAGCCAGAUUAUUCAGAUCAGCCCACCAGCUCUUUCAGCUCCCGAAUGGCUCUUUAUUUUACCACUUAUACAUUUUAAAAUUCAGCUAAAUUUAGUGUUGUUGGGUUUAUGAUAUGUACGUUUGUGUGCACAUACUUAUUAAAUAAUUCAGUACAUCCUUUAUACUGAAGUAAUCACAGGUAAAAAUCAUGUUUUCUAAUAUCAGUAAAUUGCUGUAGCCAAUUGUUUUCAUUGCAUUUACAGACCCUGGUAACUCUCUGAAACAACCCAAUGACUGCACUGACUUGCUUGUAGAACCCUCUGCUUCACAAAGCAGAUAGAAAUCUUGUCAUUCUGUCUUGUAGUUUUUUUCUACUGUCUGUGGAGGGUAAAAAAGAUAAGGAAAGGGAAAGCGGCUCACAGUCGGGAGCCGGCUCUUUGAACCGGUUCGUUCAUGACCGACGCAUCGCUAACUAAGACACAGUGAUAUGAGUACUGGAGUGCUUUAUGUGGUCCACAGUACACACAGCUGGAUCACUGAGACACCAAGAUUUACAGUAGAUGACUAGAGGGCUGAGCUUAUUCCUAUUAUUUUGAGUCAAGUAAUCCAACUCUUUUUUAAAGUGAAAGAGAGAUUCGAGAUCUAUUUCAGUAGUGUUGAUAAAUGAUAUAUUUGGCUAUGAAAGGAAAGCAAUAUGAGAUUUUUAGACAGCACUACCUGCACAUGAUUGACACAAGACCAGCGAGGAGAUAAAAUGUCCAAGUUUGUCCACAGGGGGCGCCAACAUUCACUGGUUUUCCCUAACCUUUUCUUUGUUUUUUCAGUUUGUGCUGUAGUCACUUAUUCAUCUCGCACUGCCACAUAAGUUUGUUUGAUUACAAUGACACAUCUGUAUAGUUUGUGUGUUUGGACAUUUCUGAUUCACGUUAACAUAUAGCUCACAUGUUGAAUCUCUGUCACCCAUCCGCUGUUACACCUUCUCUGUUCUACAUCUACAGCAAAUCCAGCCUCUUUCUACUUGUUAAAAUAAACUGCUACAGUAAAAAAGCUAAGGGCAUGUUUUCUCUUCUUUUUUUCCCCUUCAAGUAAAGCUCAAAUCCCACAUUUGAGUGAGGGAUAAAUGGUGGUCAUGCCUCCAGACUUUCGACUAGAUGAUUUGAUUCAGAUAAACAAGCGGCAUGCUGCACAGACUCUCGUGUUUUCUGUGUAAUCUUCUGCUUGUAACAGGAGCUUUGAUUCCUGUUCAGGUGGGGGAUUUCUCCUCUGGACCAGGUAAAACAUUAAAGCCUCUCACUUAACAGUCAGAGCUUACCUUAGGCAUUUUUGCUUUUUUUUUUUUCUCCCCCAAUUUUAUUCAUUAUAUUUCACAUUUGUGUGUUUUUUGGACAAUUCUGUUUUGCUUUAUUUUUUCUGAGAGAAUAUCAGACACAAAGUGAACCCCUGUUGGGAUGGAGGUUGUAGUUUUGAAAAAAGUUAAUCACCUUUGAAAGAUUUACUUUUUCUGGCCAUUGGGGCUAAAUAUUUGUACUUUUUCUUUAACAAUGCAUUAGUGUCUAAAGUUUACAGUAGUGGAAAAAUCUCUGGGGAUCUCUGGCAUUGAAUAUCUAGAAAACUCAAAUACAUGAUCUGGCUGUUUUCUUGUUUUGUUGAGGUUCAUUAAACCAUUUUUAAUUCAAAAGUGCAACUAAAAAUAUACAACUGCUUUCUGGAAUUUCAGGCUUUAACAUUAUUAUACAUAUUCUGCACACAGACUGAUGUUAGCAAAACCAUUUGAGACCAUGUGAAACACUGAACAAUAUCAGUGUUGUUUGAUAAAUUAAAACGUUGUAAAAUUAAGGUAUUAAAUCCACGCAACUGUUGGAGAAGUGACCAUUUCUUUGACAUAUCCUGUGACUUCUUAUGUAACCAUCUGACAGACUUUAGCCAAACACCUUUUUCUUCAUGAAUGUACAUCCUCUGAUGGUAAAAGUUCCCUCUCUGCAAGCACACAGUAUCUCCACUUUGUCACGCUGCGUUCACAAUCCUUUCUUCUCUCCGGCAGCGCCCUGCAACAUGAAAGAACAACCUGCUCGUUUUAUGUAAAUAACAACAAGGCCGCGUCUCCUCUGUGUGCCACUCUUGGUGAGAAUACCCCAAGAUCUUUGCAGCAAAUUUUUUCCCGUUCUCCCCUGCCGGCAAAGUGUGCCACAAUAGCAGCUGCAGCAGGAAGGCAACUUAGCCUCCAGCAAGACUAAAGUGUGCAUCAGAGUAAAACAGUUGUUUACUUUGUUUGAACUGCACUAUCUCACCCACGGGAGCCUGUGCGCUUGAAGUUCUGCAUCUUUCACUCUCAACUUGUGACAAAGAGUCGGAUGAAUAACAAUGUCAUUUUCUCUACCUUCUCCCCCCUCCCCCUUUUUUCUCCACUUGUCUUCUUUUCUGAGUUCAGUCUAUUUCUUUUUCCACCGCCGCCCUUCUUCUUCCCCUUUGCACUCCUCUCAAAUUAUUCAUCGUCUCUUUUAAACUUUCAGCAUGCAGUAAAUUGAUGGUGACACACAAACUACAUUAUGUUUUCUCACUCCUUUUUUUAUAAACUAACAGCACUGCUCAUCUCUCUUUAAUUGCGCAGCAGGUGGGGACACAGAUGCACACAGAUGUGAGUGCAGGAGGCCGAGAUGAGAGGAGGGGAAACGAGGGGGAGGGAUGAAAAAGACGGCGUAGCGGCGGAUUGUGUAACUUAGUUAAAGUGAUGAAGCAGAGGUCCUAAGUGACCCAGCUCAGAUGUGAAUGUUGUCUGUGCGCUGAAGUGGAUACAAGAGAGCAGGAAGAGAAAGACAUGAUACUUAUUCUUUACUCUGCUUUGACUUUAAAUUCAACUUCAAACUACUACUGCUCAAGAAUGUAGCACAUUUAACCAACUUUAUCAAAGUUCCCUCAAAUAAACUUGAGUAAAAAGAUGGACAUAAAUAUGCAAGAUGCCAUUCAAUCUCACUUGUGAAUUUCCUUCAUGAAAGCACAGUCUAAGGUUUACACUUGAAGACUUAGUAAAUAGUUUGGAAAAAAAGUUACGGUAACAGUUUAUUUGGUGUCUAUCUCUAUAACACAUUAUAAAUAUAUGUAUAAUGUGUUAUAAUCACGUCAUAGCACUGUAUAACUAUAGUUAUAAACACUCAUAGAUGAUCAUAAUGCUUUAUAGCAAUAAUCAUAUCACAUUAUAAAGCGUUUAUCAUGACUUACAAGGUCAGGAAUUAUAAUGUCUUUUAAGAGUUUACAACAGUUUUAAUGCAUUUUCUAUGUGGGCAUUGUCAGUGAGUUGUUAACAGUUAUAACACAUUAUAAUACCUGACCUUGUAAGUCAUGAUAAAAUGCCUUAUAAUGUGUUAUGAUUGUUGCCAUAAAGCAUUAUGAUCAUUUAUGAGUGUUUAUAACUAUAGUUAUACAGUGCUAUUACGUGAUUUUAACGUGUAACAAAAAAAUAAUAUAUUUAAUAAUAAUUAUAUACUCUCAUAAUAAUGUAAUGUAUAACAUACUGAAUUUCCCUUCUGGGAUUGAUAAAGUUCUUCUUCUUCUCAUUCUUAUUAUACAUAUAUUUAUAAUCUGUUAUAGAGAUAGGCGUCAAAUAAAAUGUGUUACCAAAGUUACAUUUAGACGUCUAAUUGACCUCCUUUAGACCAAAAAAAUGCUCAGUGAGCUUAUAUUAAGUAAAGAGGCACAUAUACCUUGAUUUCACUUUAUUGAUCAUCCUAUUGGUGGCUUUAUGGUUUUUGUUUUUAUUGACUUUUCCUCUUUAGUUGACCUUACUGAUUUUGUCAAAUUCUUGUAAACUUACCUGUAAUUUCGCCUUAGAAAGUACUUCAUCAAUAUGAUUGUGAAUUAUUUUGCAGAAAUAUAAUAAUGGUUGGAGUCAUAUUGAAGCAUUUUAGCAGGUCGCCUUCCUAAGACUCUAAAUGAGCAGAAACCUCAAUAAUAAUUAAAGUCACAUAAGCCGUGAUCGUCAUGUUCAUCUAUGUCUCUUCUGUGCUGUUUAUCCUUAAAGCAACAUAUUUUCUAGUAGUUGUCUUUUUUCCCUAUCAGCGCAUGUUUAAGUUGAGUGUUUGCUCUGUAUUCUUGUGUUGUUUUCUCCUCCGUCUCUCUGUGUUUUAAUAGAGAUACAGGCCUGGCGUGUCAGUCUGGGGACACAGAGAGCAGAACAGAAGACAGAUCAAAGCUUCAAAAGAUUAUUGAUCGGAGGAGAGGCAGGUUGUAGUUUUGGCUCAGGAUCAGGUUGAAGUGUCCAUACCUCUGUCCUUGAUCCAGUUAUGUUUGUUUUUCUUUCUUGAUGAACAUGACUUUAGGGAAGAGAAAAAAGGCAUGUAAUCCAAGAGUGCGUGUGCUAUUGUAUGUACUUUUGUGAUUGAAAACACAUGUCUGCGCAUGUCUCUCAGCUGCUGCUUGAUUUUCUUCCUCUCUCUCCCUCUUUUGUCUGUUUGUGUGGAUCCGUGUGUGCGCUGCUGUUUGUGUGUCACUAUGUCCACAGCUACACAGAAAUGAUAAAUUUGAGGUUAAAAAAAGACGAGAUCAUAAAUAGUCACACUUUUACUGAUGUACAAGUCAAACGGUGAAAGAUAUCCAGGCUGAAAAAUAGUCAAAUGUUGAUUUGAUGUGUGUUUUUGGUGAGACAGCUUUCCCCACAUCCACACUGUUGCCUCCUCUUUCCACCCUCUUCACCUCUCCCACAGAAGAUGAAUAAGUAAUUCUUGGUAUCAUCAUAUGUGAUUGAAGGGGCUCUGAAAAGCAGCAGUGAGGAGCGUUGCCCGAUGAAGUGAAGUGUUGAAAAGAGUGAUUAUUUUUGCUUCACUGAGGUCUUAUUUUUCAGAGUGCCACUAAAAGCAUGCGAGACUUGUGUCACUUUGCACUGAGAGGACGGAGCGGCUGAAGGGUGAUUUGAGAAGAGAUGAAAUAAAAGGUAGUGACACCCCACUCCCCACCUUUUUUUUCCCCCCUUUUUCUCAAAAAUCUUCAUUCUUCUAGCGGCUCCACUCAUCUUCUCCAUGAGGCAGGCUGGGCUGUAUUUAUGGCCGAGUGCCCACAGCUAAAGCUAAUAUUAUGAGCUUCCACUGUGCCAUCCAUAUUGUUUUACCUCGCGUUGCCUGCGGUGAGGAAUAAAUAAAGUGUCAUUGGCAGCUUUCAAAGCACUCCUCCAGCAGGUUGGAGAGCAGACUGGGCUGCAGAGAUGGAAAGAAAAGGGGGCUGUCACUUUGGGUUGGGUAAUUUUUGACGUGCACGUCAAGGCCUUGACAAGGGGAAUGUGGCCGGCUUGUACAUUAGAGCUCAAGCUCACAGGCAAGAAGGCAGCACAGCACUAGGGACAGGUAGUAAUGCAGUCCCAGAGAGUGCUGCUCAUCUGCUAACACUAUGUACUUGUCUGGUGCCACACAAGGAUGCCCCCUGUCGCCUUGGCUCCACUCCCCCCACCCCCCAUCCCUCUGCAGAAAUGACUUAAGUCAGUGCGGGAAGAAUCCAUUUACAAUGUGUGCUUUAUAACAUCUCUUUGACAAUGCAGUCAUGGAUUAGAGACAUUUGUGAUGAAUCUUUCAUGGAGACUUUUUCCCCCCAUCUUUCUUUUCCAUGUGCACCAGGCUUUUCAGGGUCCACAUGUGUCUGCUCGGAUGUCAUCGCAGGAAGACGGGGAGAGGAAAAAGCAAUGGGUACUCACCAAACGAAGAAAAAAAGGAAAGAGGAGGGGAAAAGGAAAGAGGAAGAGUGACACAGAAUCGUCAGAGUGGGGCAUUAAAAUUUAUCUCCAAGUCACAAUGGCAGCCAUGAUAGCAGCGUGAAACUUUCCUUUGAAAAUGAACGUCACUUGUCCUCUCAGUCAUGCACUUCCCUCGCAAACCAAGACAAGCGCUCUCUGUCCUCAUCAAUUCUUCACCGCCAUUUUGACAUUUAUUUUACUCAUUUGCAUAACUGCUCCCCGUGUCUCUUGUUUCGUCUCGGUUCGAGCACAUGCAGCAUCCUCGCUUUUUUUUUUUCUUCAACUUUUUUAAAAACGCUGCUUUAAAAUUAAUGCUGGCCCUGAGAAAUAUAUAAAUAUAUCCUAAAGUUGACAUGAUGUUGUUCUACAAUAUUCUCUUUGAAAAGCGAUUUUGUUCAUACUUAAAGCUGCUGUGGAGGUGCGGCUAACGCGCACCCGGGCUAACAAACACGCACUCUGUUGUCCAGCCUCGCCAUCCCUGCUUCUGUCUGUCUGUCUGUCUGUCUGUCUGUCUGCUCUGUGAUGUUAACAUGGAGAGAUGCAUACUGAAUGAUACAAUCCAGCCAAGUGAAUGCUGCUUUUUUAAUGCGCAGGCCUCAAGCAAGUCGAGAACUUUACUUGUUUACUUUGUAGUUUUUUUGAACGUUUGCAGACACUUUGGGAGCCUCUGAAUGUGCCCUGUGGCUUUACACAAACUUGAUUUAUUUUUAAAGAAAAAUAAAGACACUAUGACCUCUGAAUAAUUAACACAGUGUGUCUUCAUGUUGACUUUAAUUACUUUGUAGAUGUCCUUUCAAGUUGUAAAAGGGUACUUGUCGAGAAAUCUUUCCAUUCCUUUUUGUAAUUUUCUAUAUUUCUAUAUUUUUCCUGGAGAUAAAAUCUGAAUCUCUCCAUUUAUUCCCUAAAAUAAAUCUGCAUAAAUCCUUCUCCCGCCCGAGCUGCUGUUGUCCGGCUUUCAGGCGGCUGCUCCACAGAUGGCUUUUCUCUCUUUCUUUUUUUUUCCUCUUUUCUUCCUUUUUUUAUACUUCAGGCUCACCUGUCUGCCCUCAUUGUCCAUUUGAAAGUCAGAGCAGCGGCAAGAACCUGAGAACGACUCAAUGCAAAUGCUGCAUGAAGAAAAAAGUAUUAAAAAUUGAUCACCUUUCCAUUUGAAUUCAAGGAAGCCAUCAUUCUCCAUAAGCAGGCCUGUCUCUUUAAAUCAGAGGAACUGUCGCUUCUGUGACUGCCUGUUUACAAAAUAUGAGGCUGAAAAUGAGACCUGCUCCCUGCGGACAGGCUCCUUGUAUAAAUAUAAAUAAUGAAUAUUAGAUAAAUAAUUUCUGCCCCUUUAAUAAUGCACAACUCACGAAAUUCACUUACACUGUGAAACUGGAGAAUAGGACUAAAAGUAGAUAAUGCAGUGGUACAAUGGAGGUGAGAUUGUGUGUGUGUGUGUGUGUGUGUGUGUGUGUGUGUGUGUGUGUGUGUGUGUGUGUGUGUGUGUCGUAGAGGAAACAGGACAGGUUAGAAGGCCCCUGCUGACCCUCAGGUCACCUGAGUGAAUCCUACAGUGCAGGUAAAGAUGUUUGGCUGAAUUCUCACCAUAUACUCUGCUCCAAGUGGAUAUAAAAAUAAUUAUUUAGUGUUAUUCAAUUAAGAUAUCCUGCUGAAGGAGGUCAAAUAAAAAUGUAUUUACACAAGCUAAUCAGGGGAGUUUGAUGUGAACUGGAGCCCAGUUACUGCUUCGCUCCCUGGGGGAAGGUGGACUCUGGAGUCAGGCAGAGCUGCUCUGCUGCCUGUGUGUCUUAUGGAGAGAAAAAGAGGGUGGAGAUUUGAUGAAUGGUUAAUUAUGAAAACCCUUGUGCCAAAGCUAAAACUGUAAUUAGCCUUAAUUGGCUAAUUGGAUGGAAUUGGUGGAUGGUAUAAGCUUAAUUGCCCCAUUUUAUUCAAAGCAUUUAGUGCAAAAUAACGGACGUAGUCGUGUCAGAGACAGUAAAGCCCAUUUUUGUUUAAAGUAUAAUAAAUGUGUCCUGUAGAAAUAGUUUUUUGUGUGUUUCUCAAGAUGUACUGCAGCCUGAUCUGUCAUCAUGACCCCUCUGAAACAUUUUUUUUUUUACUGUUUUAAAGUUCAUGAGAAUUAUUCCUUUUGUUAAAUUAACCCAAAACAUUCGAAAAUAUAAUUUUGUUGCUUUUAAUUGUGCCAGUUUUAUUAACACAUAGCUAAUUACAGCAUACCUAAAGAUUCUUGACCUUUUUGUGAUUUGCCAUUUGCAGACUUUCAACUGCACCAAACUGGUUUCUGUUUACUCUAAACUUCUUGGAAAGCACAACAGGAGGAUUCAUGUGGUGAAACUCACUCCGAAAUUGGGAAAGAGCUUUUUAAGGAAGUAUUUUAAUAAGUCUUACAAUUUGAAAUGUUCAAGUCACUUAAAGCAAAAGAUGAAAAAUGUGUUUACUUUUUCUUAUGAAUAGGUUAUACAUUUAAUUUUAUAAGAAAUGACAUUAUAAAGAGAAACAGCACCAGUAACAUGUUUUCAAGUUGACUUGGAAACUCCAAGAACUUUACUUUUUUUACUCUGGUAUGUUUUGUUUCUCACCUGUGCACCACUUCAACCUUUGCAUUGACUUGUUGUGCAGCAGCCAUAAACUCCAGUGAAACCACCUUUUUUUUUUUCCCCUCUAACCUGCUGAUUCACGGUGCACAGAUGGAUGGGUGCAGAAACCUUCACUGCGCUCUGAGACAGACCACUGAAACAAGAAUUUUCUCUCCUCUUCUCCCUGACACACAAACACAAACUCUCACUGAGUAUUAGAGCAGCUUUGAGUCAAGGUGCUCAGACUGUGUGCUAAUAACACCAUCUAGAAUUCACGCCCUCCAAAUAGGUUAAUGUGUUUUUGCCCAGAGGGCCCGAUCUACCUCUGCAGCAGAACUCUCUCUGAGCUUCCAUUAAGCAACAACACUGAGGCCUAUUAGCUGCUGUGGGUGCAAGGAGUGAGAAGUCUGUACGAACACUCUUUUAUGCUGGUGUGUGUUUGUGUGUGUGAGAGAGAUAUGUGUGUGUUUUUGUGGACCGUGCACUGAGAGUGUCACUACCUGUUCAGACCGGCUGCCCUGUGUUAACUGUUGCAGGAGAACAAUGUUAUGGCCCCUGACAGCUUGUUAAAGAGUCCACCAUGUUGGAGCUGCUCUCACUUUGUUGUUUCAUUGCAAACUGUGAUACACAGCGCACAUUUCAACACGUUGACAGGACACACUCACACAGCCUCAGAUUAUUGUUUGUGAAGACGUUGGAGUGUGAAGAAAUAAGUGGAACAACAGAGAAAUUCAUGCAGCUUUUUGACUCCAGAUCAAUAUUCAGUGUCUCUUCUUCUUUAAUAAGAUCCGUCUGUGUCUUAAAAUGAUUUUGGUUUCAUUCUGUAUUGAUUAAUGUGCAUUUCUGCUUUUUUCCACUGUUACUGUUUUUAAGUGAAUGUAUUAAUAUAUCAGGAUUGGAUUUAAAUGGGUAAAAACAUAUCUCCUGUCAACCUCCAGGUAGACAAACUUUAGUGGUUUCUGCUUUUAACAAUGUCUCUUUUAUAAAUGUAUAUAUAAUUUAAAAUCAUUGUUAUAAUGAAUACAAUUUGGACGUUUAAAAAUGUAACGUAAUGAGGGUGUGUAAAUUGUUAAAUGAUGGGCUAAAAACUCAAGGUGCUUGUCUUGAUUAGACAUGCAGUAAAGGAAUUGUAGAUUUAGGUUAAAGCCUUAAAUCCUUAACAACAGCUGACCUUUCCACUCUCUACUUCACAGACCGCUCACAUGACGAAAAAUCUUGAAUUAAUCAAAUUUACAUAAAUACUAAACGCAGCAGGAACAUUUUUAACCUUUUGAACGUUUUCGUAUCUGAACUUUCUCUUCUCUUGAACAAACUUUGGAUGUUUUUCUUUUUGGGAUACACACACAUGGAGAAUGCCUCCAGAUUUAUCCGUCUGUUGUUUGGCAUUUUCUGUCGUCAAAUCAAGGUUCAUCCCGCUGCAAACAACUCUAUCAUUCAGAGCUGGACUCCUUGGUGAUAUUUUGGCAAAUGAUACCAAAACGUUUUAACUCAACGGCAUAAUUAUUGAGAACAAAAAAAAAAGGGAAUCUUAAGACCGGCUUAAUCUGAAGGUUAAUUAAAGUCAGGAAUGGUCCAGUAAUGGAGCAAAUACGAGUCAGUGUUCUUAAUAUUUUAGAUAUCAGCUUAAUUUAUAGUCUCAAAAAGUAUAUUAUAUUUAAUAUUUUACAUUACGCUGCAAAAGACAAGGCCGUAAAGGCUAGAUUAAAAUUUAACUGAGAAUUUCAAAUUAUUAAACAAACUCUUUAUUCUUCUGGUUUUUGUUGUGAUUACCUUUUUAAUUUGUGAAUUUAAGUUUAAUUUCUUUUAGCUUUAAUCCAUAAAAAAGACAUUUUUAAAACUUUUAACAGUAUUGGUGUUAUUUCUGAAUGUAUUCGAUCUAAUAGGUAAUGAUUUUUCUCAUCGAUUUGGAUUCCUCAGUUAUAGCCGUGAGCUGUGUAUAGUGUGCAUACAGUAUAUAACUUUGUGCAACAUACAGCUGAAGGGGAUAUAUAUUUGAGAAACACUGAUUUCACAGCACUUAAAAUGGAUUUAGAUUGUAUUAGCGAUGAGAUCUGAUAGAAGAUGUAUAUACACUUGGUGUUGUAGGUAUUUUUUUGCAGUUCUUUCACAUGAAUAGAUACCAGGAAAUGAAUUUAUAAUACAGUAUUCAUAUUUAACAACAGAAAAUAUGAAGGUCAAGCAUUUUUGUCCGAAGAUUGUCAAAACGUUUCUCUUUGUGUCAAAUAAAUUUUUACAAAAUGUUCUUGACGUGUUUCAACUUUUAUACCUCCCCAUACAGUAUUAUCCAUUAUAAAACAACAUGUGAAUAUGUAGGUUUGAAAGUAAUUUUUUAAAUCAGAAGUCACAUAUUUUCUGAUAAUAACAUAUAUAAUAAUAAUAAUCUAGUAUUAUAUUGUUUUACGCUGCUCAAACAUUUCUUCAAGUGAGGGAUAAUUUCUGCUCUCACAGAGGAUGCUGAAUGUUUUGUGUCAGCCUGACCCCUUGUGGACACCCAUUGUACUCACUGCUGCUCCGCUCUCCCAUUACCAGAAGCAUCACACAAAACAGUACAAGGGAAACAUCCAUAAAACUUGUAUAAAUUUUGUUUAAAUGAAUAAAUCAUCAAUUGUGAUGUUUUGAUUGCAUUUCACAAGCAACACAUGUCCUGAAUUGUUUUUGCAGAGAGUAUCGGAGUUUUUUUUUUUUAAAAAGAGCCUCCGGCUGUUAGCAGUGGUCUGUGUCUGUGAACAUUUAUUUGUAUUUAAGUAGACCAAGACAUUAUUUGUAUUGUUUGAUGCCAAAGUCAAUAAGAGCCCGUACAGAAAUGUGGUUAAAUGUCUCUCUAUUCUCUGAACUGCAGUCAGUGCGUUUGCCUUUGACAACAAUAACUCAUACAUUGAAUAUGUAUUACAGACUGAGCAGUCCUCUGAGAUCUAAUACAUAUAUUUGAUGAAUUUAGUGACUGACUGCUCCGGCCUUUAUCGUCCAGGGUAAAAUAGAUCUGACCAACUUAGAGACAGCAGAACUAAUUAAAUGGAUAAAAGAUAUAUAUGGGCUCCUUAGAGGAUGUAAAAUUAAUAGCAGACCAAAGGACUUGCCUCUGAGCGACUUCGUCCGCUCCACAGCACAGAGACGACUUCGAGGGCUGAGUGUGUGAGGUGUGUGUGUGUGUCUGUCUGCUAAUAUUCAAGUGCAUCUUUACUCUGACAUAUGGGCAUCAUUUGUGAUGUAUAUUUGAUUUUCAUGUUUGCAUUCAUCUGCACUUCAUCUUGUGUACGCUGGAUUUUUAUAAUGGGUCCCUUUACAGUUUGUGGAUGUUGAUAAGAAGAUCUGUGGUAUGAAUGUAGCAGAAAAGACCAUUUAUGCAAAAAGAAUCAGGUAAUACUUUUCCAAACGCUUGAGUUUGAUUGCUGUAUAAAGUGUGCCUGUCAUUUUUUCCAUGUCCACUUCUUUAUCUGACAUAAGAUCACAGUUCCGGUUGAGUCUGGAUUUUGUGAAAAAGCCUCGGCUAACAAACGUUUUUUUAGUUUAGUUUUGUCUUUAUUUAAAAGGCUGAAGAGAGACAAGACCAUGGUGAGUGGAGAGAGGUGGAAGACAAGCUAGUUGUCAGGCGUUGAAUCCGCAACCGCUACAAUAAGGACUGUGGUCUCAGUACAUGGGGUGUGCCAUUAAACCACUGGGUCAACAGCAGCUUUUGUGCUUUUAUUGAAAGAGAGAGAGGAAAGUGGAUAUAUCAAGAAACUGAGGAGAAAGAGUUGGGAGUGGCAUGCAAAAAAAGGCUGCAGGCUGGAAUCCUUACCCAGGCCUUCCACCUUAGGUUUAUGUGACAAGAUCUCUGACUUUGUCUGAGCGUAAAAUGUUUGUUCAUUCAUUAAAUAAAGCAUUAAUAAGAAUAGUUUCACAUAUUGUAGAUACUGAAAUCUGCGUUUUUUCCAGAUUGAACCAUGAUUUAAAUAACAUGUAGAUCACUAUCCCAAACGAGUUCACAGCGCCUUACUGCCAACAUUCCCUUUAAAAGUACAAAAAAUGAAUAUAUCAACUUAACUUCUGUAUUUAUUUGAUUGUGUGUCCAAAAAUUUAUUUUCAUAAACAUAAUACCACUUGAUGUUUUAGUCGCAUUUUUGGUGAAAAGAAAAAUAAUUUAACAGUUUGAGAUACAGCUGUGCAAAUUUUAAACAUCAUUAUAAUUUCUUAGUGAUUCAGCCAAUACGUUUAUUCUUAUUCUCUCUGACAAGUUUCAUGGUAGGACAUGAUUUUAUUAUCUUCAGAUUUGUGUGGUGUUUUCAGCUCAAUAAGAUUAUAAAUGGCACAGUCAUUCCUCUGUCAUUUUUCUAUUCCAUUUAAUGGAGUCCAAGAAACUCAAAAACAUCUUUAGUAUCUUCCAGAGACAGUUUUUGUCUAACCUUGUCUUAAAAAUCAUCUAUAUCUGAUAACCUGUAUUUUUCCUGUUAUUGUUCCUCUUAACGCAGCCAACAUGUAUAUUUGUGUAUGUAUAGUGUGCUCUGUGCAUAUCUGUACAUGUGUUGUUGCCUGGUUGGUUCAGUGUUGUAAAUCUGCAUGGGUAUCUUAAUUAUGACCUGUCAGAUAAAUCACAAAAUGUUGCUUUAAUCUGACCCUGGUACAAGACAUCAAAUGGUAAAACUUUGCUUUAAUAUUUCACAUAGUUCCUCACCAAAUGAGACGUAGAAAAAAAAUACACGAGUUGCUGAUAGACUUUCUGUCAGAGAGUGAAUUAAUUAACGGAGUCAAACCUUGUCCUCCAGUCUCAAGCCAGACCGUUAUGUGUGAGUCUAGUUAAAUAAAUAGUUUAUUCUCUCUCCCUCUUCUUCUCUCGCCCUCUCUUAGACGGAUCUGCUGCUGACCUCACUCCUUCCCCAGAGUGACUGAGCCUGAGGUCGUGUCUGUAUGAGGUGUACUCCACACUGACCCACUUUGACUCUCCCUGCCCUCACCUCCACUUCCCUUUCAACCAGUCAGACUCUGGAUGAAGAGAGGAGACAGGUUUGCUUUCAUGGAGAUUCUAACUGAGGCCAUGCAGGGGGAACAGCAGCUUUCUGGGUCUGAUAGAUAAGGUUCAGAUGAGGAACCUGUUUUCUUUUUCAACUCCUGGGAUCAUACGGUGUGCAGCAUGUGUACACAGAAUAUACACAAAGGAUGAAAAGGCCUUAUACUCUUAUACUAAAGGUGAAGAAUUGGUUUGUUAAUUUGCAAACGUGAGUGGACAAAAUAUUCAAACCACCUGUGAAAUGGAAACCAACUAAAACAGCUUGAGUAGUAAAUGUGAAAUUAGUGAGGCUAUUAAAAACAUGGUUAAACAGGACUAACAGUUCAUGUUUGUAUUAUGUGAUGAGUGAUGGUGACCCAUAACAACUCACACGACCAUAAGUGCGGGUUUGCAGAUGUGUAGAGGUAUCUGCCAAGGAUCUUACAAGGAGCCAAAAACCACAGACAGGCUUUAAGGUUAGCUUGUAAUGGAAACAGAAGUUAAAGGGAUAUUCCAGCGUAAAUUUAAGUUAGGGUCAAACACACCGUAACACCGAGUUAGACACCCUGUCGAGAGAUUGAUGUUGCCGACUGCUUGAUUCUCUAGUUAUACCAACUUUAGUAACGACCCCACAAUAGCAAUACACAGCGGUCUCAGGAGCCAUAAACAAACCUCAACCAAAACGCCACUCUAUUGCCACAAAUAAUGCUCAGAACAGCAGCUAACUUCAUCAACAGUACAUAUUGGGUCAUAGCAAUAGUACUAGCCACCAAACAUCUUUUUAACUUUGCCUAAUAUCUUUAGCAAAGAGACUAAACACAACUCACCUACUCUAUUCCAGCAGCCGCUUGUUUGUAGCGAGACCUCGUGCCAGUCCAAUACGGACUACAGCGGGGUGACGCAGCUCAAGGAAGAACAUUUAUAAUCAUUUCUUCAUGGAAAUGCAGUCAGACCAAGACGAUAAGGCAGAAGAAUUACCGCGUGCGUGAUUAUUACUCAAAGGAAAUGAUAAAAAAAUGAUCAUAAAUGUUCUUCCUUGAGCUGCGCCACCCCACUGUUGUCCAUUGCUAUCGUGCGGUCAUUACUAAAGUUGGUAUAACUAGAGAAGCAAGCAGUCGGCAACAUUAAUCUCUCGACGGGGUGUCUAACUAGUGUUAUGGUGUGUUUAACCUUAACUUAAUUUUUACGCCAGAAUAUCCCUUUAAGUAAGCAUUACAAGAGAAAAAAAGGAUCUGCAAAGGUUUAUGUAAACAUGCAAACCUAAUAUUUAUUGAAUGAUAACUAAUCUGAGCUAUUUUAUAAAUGAGGCCUUUCUGUUUAAAAUGUGAAAUUCAGCAUUUUAUGGUACCAGAUCCAACCAUUUCAAGACUCCCAAUAUCUAAAAAGAUGAAAUCUAAUUUGUUCCAGAGAUAAAACUACAAAAAAAGAAAGUUUUCUUAACUAUGACAGACAGCCAACCUCAAUUCAUCAGCUUUUAUUAUAACCAAAUGAAAAAUAGACCAACACCCACUCUUUUUUUCCACAGCCAUGUCAGUCAGUCCAUUUGAAAAAUCUGUUAAACAAGUUUGUGUGACAACCAGAUAAUGUCAUUUCAAAUGCUGAAAUGUUUCUGUUUCAAAGCCUUUAUGAGCCUUUAUGAGCCUUUAUUUCUAACUCAUAAAAAACUGUUAAACUGUGGUGCCUCUUCAUGAAGUUAAAGCUUUUAUCCAUUUUCCAUGGCAAAUAUUUGUGAUGUUGAAAAAUAAGCUGGAUGAUUUUUUUUAUGGGAAACACGGCUUAGGCAUGUCCAGGACAUGAUCAGCGAAGAUGUAGGAAGUAUCAUUUUUUCUACCAAAACCUACACUAAUCCAAAUUUCUUUGUCAGAGCUCAAAAUAGGAUAUGUGUUAAUAAAACAACUGAUUACAUUUAAUACAGUGUUAGUGUUUUGACCAAACACAGGCAGAACCAAGUUGUCCAUAGUAUAUGCAGUCUAUGAGUUGAACACAAUCCUGAAGGGAUGUGAAGCAGACACUCCGUACAUAGCUCUGUGGUUAUAGCUGUAGCAAUAAUAAUAUAAUUGAACUACUGUGCUUGUCUCAGUUUACAAGCACCAAGCAAGAAUUGAAUUAUUGGAAAAGCAUGCUAUACCAGGUGACCCCUUUCAGCUUGUGAUUCCUGGAUUGUCCCCUUAUCAACAUAUUCCUGAAACAAUCCACAAAACAGGUUGGCUACAUCAUUCAUUCACUCACAUCUGGCUCAAAGUCUUGCAUGCCAACAUUGUAGCAUGAACAGAAAGUUUAGACCAGUUUUAGUGCAAUUUUGCUGUACACAUAACAGAGAAAUGCAUCAUCCAGGUAUGUUUGUCAGACUUUGAGAAGUCUGAUUUAGAGCGGUUUCAGUCAAGCUAACAAGUUAACAUGUUUUUGAAAAGCUCAGCUCCAGUCAGACUGAAGCAUAAAAUCGAUCUUUAAUCCAAAACACCAUAAUCCUUGUAACAUCAACUUGCCCUCUGUCCCAUCUGUUGACUUCAGAAGGGUUGUGUUUAUGGUCUAUACAGCAGCCGACCAGUAGGGGGAGCUCUAAAUCUUUUGGCUUCACAGUCAGUGAAAACAUAUGGCAUCCAUAUAGAUAUACACUCUUUGGUAGACCAUAAUGCUUUCUCACCAGAGUGAAUAUGAAAACAGCUAUUUUCUUAACCCUGGUCUAGUCCACCAUAAUUGAUAAUCCAAUUUUCUAAUCUUCCAAGAUUUCAAAAGCCAUACAUGCAGUAUAAAGUCCUCAAAAUUUUAGGACAAAAACAGUGUUAGUCUUUGGAAGCCAGCUAACUCCAAAUAACUUGUGUGGAUUCUCUCUGAGAAGCUCUGUUAAAACAAUGAAGCAGCAGUUUUGGGUUUUUUGCUGGUCUACAUUAUGUUCAGCAAUCUGUCCCCUUUUCAUGUUUCUGUAGCUGUAGUUCAGAACUUCAACCAGCAGAGGGCACACAGCC